AGUGCCGUCCCAAAUUUUAGGGUGGCCUAAGGCACAAUUAAAUUAAGUGGCCUUUUAUACAAGUACUAAUGAUAAAUGGUAGCACAAAUAAGACAAACUAAAAAAUAUAAAAUCACUGAAUAUAGUUAAAAUAAAAAAUAUUUUGGACAAAGGAGGGAUCGAACAAGAGUGUUUGCUAACUCAAAGUUUUCUUAAAAAAUAACAAUCAGGCUAACUAACUUGUUAUGUUGUGGCCCUAAAAUGUUCAAUAUAUUUUGUGGCCUAAAGCAAGUGCUUCACUUGCUUUAUAUCAGGGACGGGUCUGCGUGGAACCGCGUGUAUUAGCGGCGCAAUUUGCAUUUGAUAAUGAUCAUUAGGCGCAUUUGAUAAUAAAUAUAUUAUUUUCAAGUUUAUAUUUGGGUGGAUGUCCUUUUUAGUCUCAUGGCUGACAAAGAAUUUAUUAGUUAUUUUCUUUUGCAUGUAUCUAGUUUACAUGGAUUCGAAUUUUCAGAAAAUAUCGAUUAUUAUAUAUUAAUGAAAGCAGCUUUAUUGAAAGUUUUUAAUUUAUUAAAAAUAAUUAACAUUAGUACCAAUAAACAAUAUUUGCUAAACAUUUUCAACGAACUCGGUAUAGUCUUUCGUUGUGCUCACUGCUCAUAUGAGUUAAAAUGAAAAUAUCUGUUGUGAGUAUGUGUGACACACACAAAUCGCCUACAUAAAAAAAAAGUGUCCCUUAAACAUUUUUAUAUUGGAUUGGUUAUCCCUGUUAGAGUAUCUUAUAUAUUAAAACAGAAGUCAUGACUUCUUUUCAUGUGCGAUUUUUUUAGUUUGGACCAUUCCUAGAAAAUAUCAUAUUUUACAUAAGUUCAUUAUUAUAUCUUUUAAUAUCUUUAUUUUUUUAGUUGAAAUACAAAUGAAUAUAUUUAAAAUGUUCUAACAAAAUCUUUUUAAAAUCUUCUUAAAAUCUUUUUAAAUUUACUUUCAAAAAUUAGUUAGUUUUAAUUUAAAUUAUCAUAAAAUAUAAUUAGAAAUUAAAAUUGAAUAUAGUUUUGGUUUAUAAACGAAAAUUUAAAUAAAAUGAAAUUAAUUAAUUUUAAAAAUACAUUUACUAAUAACUUUUAAAGAUUUUGUUAGAAAUAAAUAUUUAUUUUUAUUUUAAUUUUUUCAAAUUAGUUUUCUAAUAAAAAUCAUGAAUUUUUGAUGAGUGAUAUUUUUAUUUGGACCAUCAUUUAAAUUUUAUAUUAAAUGUAUAUCACUAAUGCUAAUAUACAUAAUAUUUUUAACUACUUUAAUCAUAAUAUCUUUUAUAUCUUUUAAUUUUUUUUUUAAAAAAAUUAAAAUUCUAACAAAUCUCUUGAAAAAGAUUAUAAUAAGAUCUUAAUUGUCAUAUAUUGAAUAUAAAUAUUUUCAACUAAUUUUGUAAUUAGUAAUGAAAUGUUACUAAAAGAAUAAAAUUAUAUCCUAUUUUAUCAAUUUUAUAAUAAUAUCUAUCAUUUUAAAAUAAAAAUGUUAUAUUGAAAAAAAUAUGAUAAAAUUAUUUUAAAUUGAUAAGUUAACAUAUUUUAUUUUCAUAAAUAAAAAAUAUUUAUGUUAAAAAUAUAAUAUGUUGGUAGAACGGGUUAAUAUUAGUAAACUAUAUAAUACAUGUAUAAAAAUUUAACUUAUCUUAAACUUUUUAAUAUACAGUAAUUUAUUAUAUAAAAUUAAUAAACAUUAUAAAAUUACUAAAAAAAUCUAGCGAUUUGAAUUACGGAUCAUGAUUAUAAUAAAUUAAAUACAAAAUUGUUUUCAUAUAUGUUGUUUCAGGCAUUAAAAAAUUUAGUUUAGUAAUCAAACGCAAAUUCAAUAAGACAAAUAUAUAAUAAGCAACAUAUAUGUGAUGAUUUUAAUUUACAGCAUGAAAACUAUAAAAUUAUUUUAUUUGGCAUAAUUAUACAAACAUUUAAAUAUGUGAGUAGCAUUAAAAAUAUAUAAUAAUUAUGAAAAAAAUAUUUAUAUAUAUAAAUGUGAAAAUAUAUACCCGCACGGUUGUGCGGGUGGAAAUCUAGUAUAUAGUUAAGAUAUUAUAUAUUUUGUAUAUACACUAGAUAUUCUCUAGAACAUUCUACUGUGUUCUCUAUAUACUCUUUGACAUAUAAUGAUACAUGGAGUUUUCUAUCUUACAUAUUAUCGGACGCUAAACUCUAGCCACCAAAUUAAUAGCGAUCGAUCCAGUCUCCACUUUUUUCAUCUCUCUUUUCUUCACAUUUUUUUUUAUUUUUCUUCUCCUCUUCGUCCUUCUCCUUCUUCUCGCGGCUCAUCAUGACUGCCCUUACAUCAUCAAGUGAUAAACUUUAUGGGAUUUCACAGAUCAAAGUCUAUAUUCCCAUCACUUUUGACAUGACGAAACUUAAUUACGAUAAAUGGUGUGAGCUCUUUGAAACCUAUUGUGUCAGGUUUGGUGUUCUACACCAUAUUGAUGGCUCCUCUUCUUCAACUCAUGCUACUGAAAAAGAAUGGAAGGAGCUUGAUGGACUUGUGAAGAUGUGGAUUUAUGGUACCAUAUCUGACUCCAUCAUUGAUACCGUUCUCAAAAAGAACGCUACUGCACGUGAUCUAUGGCUGUCUAUUGAAAACCUCUUCCGUGAAAAUAAAGAAGCUCGUGCUCUUCAACUAGAGAACGAACUCUGAUGGUUAUUGGAGAACUUACCGUCCAUGAGUACUACCAAAAUAUGAAGACUACUGCUGAUCUACUCACCAAUAUUGAUGCCCCGGUCUCCGAACGCGCACUUGUCUCACAUCUCUUCAACGGUUUAUCAGACAAGUUUGACUCGAUCAUUAAUGUUGCGCAACACAAAGUGCCAUUUCUGACUCUACGUUCAACGUUGUAGAUAGAGGAAACUCGCCUUUCCAAACAGGUAAAACCAACUCCUCACCACCACGAAAAUUCCUCGUCCGCCACGGUCCUCUAUGCUGUCUCUGAUGAAAACCCUCAGAACUCACACAACAACAAUUAUCACAACUCAGGUCGUGGGAAUAGGGGACGAAAUCGAGGUUAUGGUCACUCGAGAGAAAAAAAGUCGCUAAAACAACAACUGGCCGCAGCAACAAUUUGGCGCACCUUGGUACUACAACCAGCAACCUCCCGUUUAUGCGAUAAUACCUCCUCCCUUUACGUACCUGUCGCAGGGUUAAGUUCCCUACUCACUUGGCUCAUUCCAGCAAUAUCAGCAUCAGCAUGGGAGUCUACUGCAGCAAGAUAUUCUCAGGUCUCAUCCAACACGACCCAACCAUGAAGCGCACAUGGCACAGAUGUCUACAACUCCGCAGAUGACACAACUUCCAGCGGGUCUCACUCAUGCGUUCAACAUAAUGACUCUACAGCAGCCUGAUCCAGCAUGGCACGUGGACUUUGGUGCAUCCACGCACAUCACUUCAAACGCAUGUACUCUAAAAUCCCUUUUUAAUCUGAGCACCAUACCUCUUGUAACCGUAGGUAACUGGCCCAUAGUUGCUGUUCAGACCUCUGGACAUGGUACUCUUGUUUCACUAUCUCGCUUUUUUUCUCUUUGUAAUGUUCUGGUUUGCCCUGAUAUUAUCGAAAAUCUAAUCUAUGUAUGCAAGUUUGUUACAGAUAAUUCAUGUGCUAUUAAGUUUGAUACUUUUGGUUUUUGUAUUAAGGACCAUCAGACUCAGAUCAAACUGCUCCGGUGUAAUAGCUCGGGUCCAUUGUAUUCUGUGACACCAUCUCCACCACUACCAUCUCAUUUCAGCUUUCACUACAACAUCACUGAAUAGUUUCAUAUGGCAUAGACGACUUGGGCAUCCCAACAAAUCUACUCCUUCUCACAUUUUAUCUAUUUUUCUCCUUCUCUCUCUAAAACAUAGUUGACGGCUUUGUGUCAAGAAUACCAACUUGGCAAGCACACUCAUUUACCUUUCUAUAAUUCAACAACUAUUGUUUCUCAUCCUUUUGAAAUCAUGCAUUCUGAUAUUUGGACAUCUCAUGUUUCAAGUAUCAGUGGCCUUAAAUACUAUUUCAUUUUUCUUGAACGUGUUUUACACUUUGUUUGGGUAUAUCCUCUUCACCGUAAGAGUGACACAUUUGGCAAAUACUUGCAUUUCUCUAACUAUGUGCAGACACAAUUCAAUCAUUCCAUCAAAUCUUUACAAUGCAAUAAUGAUGGAGAGUAUGACAACCGAGCAUUCAAAGAUCAUUUGGCGUCCACUGGCACUCUCCUUCGGUUCUCUUGCCCUCACACAUCGCAGCAAAAUGGUUAAGCUGAGUGUAUGCUUUGCACCAUCAACAACAUUAUUCAAACGCUCUUGUUUCAAGCCUCCAUUCUGCCUGAGUUCUGGGUAGCAGCACUACACACAACAGCUCACCUUUUCAACAUAUUACCGUCGGUGGCCAUCAACAACGACAUACCAUGCACACAAUUGUUCGAGACAGUGCCUAACUACCAUCACCUACGCACUUCUGGCUGCAUGUGCUACCCCAACUUGUUGCCUACAUCGGUUCAUAAAUUUUCUCAGCGCUCCACACCUUGUGUCUUCAUCGAAUACUCAACGGACCACCGCGGCUAUAGGUGCCUUGAUCUUCACACUAGGCGCAUCAUACUCUCCUGCCAUGUCGUAUUUGAGGAAACAAUAUUCCCUCUGUCUCACACUUCUUCUCUCUCUUCUUCCUCUUCUGCUCCAGUGGAGUUCCCUCCACCACCUAUUCCUCGCCAAACAAAAAUCAUAAAUGUGUCUCCUCCAGUCAUCACUCCUACGGCUCAUCCUUCUAUUCUUCCUCCAAACACUCAUUCUAUGGUCACUAGAGGUAAAAACGGUAUAGUGAAACCGCGAACUCCUUUGUGCCUUCAUACUGAUAUUUAUUUCUCUUUUACCAUUGUCUUUUGUCCAAGCAGCUAAUGACCCACUUUGGAAUAUUUCUAUGUUUGUAGAAUAUGAUGUUCAUAUUAAAAAGAGAACGUGGGUACUUAUCACCGGCCAAAGAAUACUAACAUUGUGUGUUCCAUGUGGCUGUAUAGGCAUAAGUUAAAUGCAGAUGGAAUUAUUAGAUGCCACAAAUCUUGCCUCAUCGCUAACGGAAAAUCCCAACAACAAGGCAUUAACUGUGAUGAAACGUUCAGUCCUCUCGUCAAACCAGCGACGAUUGGUACGGUUUUCAUGUUGCUCUGGUUCGUGAUUGGCCACUACAUCAGCUUGACGUGAAGAAUGCAUUUCUCAACAGUGACUUCGACGAGACUGUAUAUAUGUACCAGCCACUGGGAUUCAUAGAUAAAAUCAAAUUGGACCAUGUCUGCUUUCUGAAACACUCACUUUACGGUCUCAAACAAGCACCUCGCACAUGGAACAUACGAUUUGCAACUUUUUUCGUAGCCUUGGUUUCAAACAAAGUAUUUCCGAUCCAUCGCUGUUUGUGCUAUGCUCCGGAGCUGAUCUUGAAUAUCUUCUUCUUUAUGUUGAUGAUAUCUUCCUUACGGCCUCUUCUUCCAGCUUGUUGCAGCGCAUUAUCACACGUCUGAAUUCGGAGUUUGAAAUGUCCGAUCAAGGCCUUCUCCACCACUUUCUCGGCAUUACAGUCAAGCGCGAUGUCUCUGGUCUUCUCCUUCAUCAACAUAAAUACGCGGCUGAGAUUCUCCAUCGAGCAAACAUGUCAUAUUGCAACCCAUGUCUCACUCCCAUCGACACAAAACAAAAACUCUCAGUCAAUACCAGUCCGCCGGGCUCUGAUCCUACUCUGUAUAGGAGCCUUGCUGGUGCUCUCCAGUACUUGACUUUCACUCGACCCGACAUUGCCUUUGCCGUUCAGCAGGUGUGUCUCUUCAUGCACGAUCCACGAGAAGCUCACUUCAACACACUCAAACGGAUUCUUCGCUACUUGAAAGGCACCCUUUCGCAUGGCAUUCAUAUGGUUUGAGCAAAGUCUUUGCACCUUACUGCAUACUCUGACGCUGACUGGACGGGUUUUCCUUCUACAUGUCGAUCUACCUCUGGCUACUAUGUCUUCCUCGGUGAUAACUUGGUCUCAUGGUCAUCAAAAUGGCAACAAACUAUUUUUCGGUACCGAAGCUGAGUAUAGAGGGUUUGCAAAUGUUGUUUCUGACGCGACUUGGCUAUGCAACCUCUUGUUCGAAAUGAAGAUUUCACUAGCUCGUGCCACUUUGGUCUACUGUGAUAAUGUAAACGCCAUGUAUUUGUCCUCCAAUCCGGUUCAGCACUAAUGAAUGUAACAUUCGAGUCCUCCAUAUUCACAAAGGGGCUUCCAUCUCCUCUAUUCACUGAGUUUCGGAACAGUCUCACUGUCCGACCAAUACACGCUUCGACUGAGGGAGAGUGUUAGAGUAUAUACGUUUAGAUAUUAUAUAUCUUGUAGAUACAUUAGAUAUUCUCUAGAACAUUCCAUUAUAUCCUAUAUAUACACUUCACAUAUAAUGAUUAUAUAUACUUUUGCCAUAUAAUGGUUUUCUAUCUUACAAUCCCUUCUUUUUUUUUAACACCAGAUUGGUUAUCUUUAAAAACUUAAUAACAAGUUUUUUAAAAUAACUGAAUAAAUAGUACCUCCCAAUACACAUUAUAUGUGAAUAGCUAUAUCAAAAUUCCAAACAAUAUUUUUUUUAGUAAGAAAUGUUUACUCUAUGUACAUUUUAGUUAUUUUAUACAACUAUAAAUAUGAACUAUAUAAAACUAUUUUCUAUCAAAUAAAAUAAAUUUGAAAAUCAAUGUUCCACCUCCGCUUGAGAUUUUUCUUAUAGUUCUGAUGCAGAUCCCCUAUAUAUUAAAAGAGAAGCAUUACAACAUAUUUUUGUAGCCACAUGUCAUCACCACAAUCAUUCUUAGAAUCUUUAGAAAAGAUGUUGGUCCAUAUAAAUAUAUAAUAAGUUUUUUUAUUAAACUAACCAUAAACUAAUCAUAAAUGUUCUUCAUUGUUUCCUUAAAUAAAAGUCACGGAAUUACCUAAUGUGGUUAAAGUAUAUAUGACAAUUAAUGAUUUUGAAUAAUAAAGAUUUGAUAAAAAUUACUCUAUUCUCUAUCAUUUUAAAAAAAAUUAACUAAUUAAAAUAAAUUAAACAACCAUGUUAACUAUAUAAUAAAAAUUUAGAUUUUUUUGUAUAUGCUAUAUUUUGAAUUUUUAAAAACGAAUAUAAAUGACUAAAGUUGUUAAAAAUCUCACAUUGAAAUUUUUGUGAUCCAUGGUUUUAAAAUUUAUAUUAUAACAAGAUACAAAUGAUUAUGAAAUUACAAAAGUAGGAAGUCUCAUUUAAUUAAUAUUAUAUAUAUAUGUAUAUUAAUAUUUUUUUAAAUGAAUUAUAUACCAUAUAAAAUACAUAAGUAUUUUAAUUUCGAAUUUGCUUUGAAUUUUUUGAACAAUUAUUGACAACUUAAUAUUUAGAUUUUAAAGUUUGCAUUGAAUGUUUUUAAAAUUAUAAAUUACUAAAACUAUUAAACAUUCCACAAUUUUUUUAUUGUUAUCAUUUAUUUAAAAAUUUUGUUAUAAAGAAAUACAAACGAUCAAAAAUAAUAUGAGUAUAAAAUACUUUUUAGCAGAUGUCAAUAUUAAAAAUGUACUUUAUAUCUAUGUUAAUAUCAUGUAAACUUAAUUUUAUAACAUAUAAAAUAUAAAAAGUGUUUGUCUCGAUUAAUAAAAUUUAUUUAAGUAUUUGUAUCAAUUUAGUUACAUACGUAAUAGUUACUAAUUUUUUUAUUAUUCAAUAUAUAUUUGUUAUUUUUUAAUAUGUAAAAAAUAUAUAAUACUUAAAAAUAAUUUAUAUAUCAUAUUCAUCCCGCCCAAGGGGCGGGUCUUAACCUGAUAUUAGAUUAUUCAUACAUAAUAUCAGCACUAUCAGGUCACGAGUGACUUUUGACUUCUCAAUUCUUUGUAGCUAGAUUUGAUCAAAUCUUGGUUAUCAACAGGCCAAUUAAUACCCAACCAAUUUCACAGUAUAAAUUCUUACCAGUACCAUCACUAAUAUACAUAUAAACUUACAGUAAUAUACUUGAAGAGGAUCAUUGAGUACUUGAGUAUAUAUUUUUUCUUUUUAUGAUAACAAAGUUACGUGUAGCCCGACCAAUUAGACAUUGUAAUUCCAAAAUACUCAAAAUAUAAGAACUAAAGUUAAAAAGAAUUUCGAGAUGCGAUUAGUUGUAAGAGCACCUCCAAUGGGAAGUUCUACCCAUUAGAGUUCUAAAGAUUCAUAUGUGUGUAAGUAUAUGUUGUAUAUGUGUAUGUAUGUGUACGAUCCAUUAUUUUGUGGAGAACUCCACUUUUAAGGUUCUAAAAGCUUUGUUUUAAGAAUUUUAAGGGUGGAAUUCUCCACAAAUAAUAGACCCACAUAUACAUACACAUAUAUAAUAUAUAUUUAUACACAUAUAAAUAUUUAAAACUCCAAUGGAUAGAACUUCCAUUGGAGGUGCUCUAAGAACCUACAACAUGAAACGAACAACAUUUGUUCGCAUGUCACAGUCAAAAGUAAGUCACAGAAACUUAAGACAACAAAACGAAACAACAUUUGACCGUAGAUCUCAGCAUAGGUGACAUCAACAUGCAAAUGAAUAUGGCAAAAUCAUUUUAUUUUAUUUUAUUUUGUUGAGAAAAUAUAUGACAUGAUUUUAUUUAAAUACUUAAACUUGCUGAUGACCAAUAAUAUAUAAUUAUAUACCUGGUUGAUAUUUCAUAAUAUAAUUUCUUUUAGCAAAUUUUUUUUGUUUAAAAAUAUAAGUAAUUUUCAUAUUUCAAUACAACUUUUGUGCUAUUAGAUAUUAUAUAACCAAUUAAAUUAUGCAUUUUUAUUUAAUAAAUUAUAUCUAAUUAAAUAUUAAGCUAUAUAUUUUGAAAUAUAACAACUUUUUUAAUUGUUGUGAUUUUAGCCAAAACAACUAACUUUAUGAAACAACGAGAUCAUUUGUUACCAGCAAAAAUAAAAUAACUGAUCGUAUUUAGGGGCCCGAGACAUGAGUCUUCUGUAUUUUAAAAUUUCUUGUUGACUAAAUCACUAUUUUGUCUUUAUUUGUCAAUGUUAUAUAUACUGUAACUUAAUUUAAUAGAAAACCAAAGAGCUUCCUAACUUUGAUGGCUCGGGAUCUCCAUGAUUAAACUAGUUGCCUAAUGUCCCUUUUGUCUUUUUCUUUACUUUAUUCUUCCUUUGUUCUUUUUUUCUUUCUCAUUUAUAUUUUUGAUCUUAUCGUUUUGAUAAAACUGACGGGAUUAGUAGCUCGCACUAGUUUUUUGGCUGAUGAUUUGUAAAGAGACGUACAUACUUCGUGGGAUUGAAGACGUUAUGAUUUUCAAUUAACUGUAUAAGCUAGAUUGUUAAAUACCUAAUGUCCAAAAAACAAAUUAAACAAGCGAUAAAUGUGCAUCGACUAAAGUAAUUGAAAAUAUAUGUAAAUAAGCUGCUAACUCAUUCACGUCCUUUGGUAUAAAUGUUUUCAAGUUAUAUUUUAGGAUCCACCAGCAAUGAAAUUGCUAUAUGUAGUUAUGCGUAGGAAAUGAGGUUGUACAACAUGUCCAAAUGAUUAACAAUGUCAUCCAACACUCUUUUUCUUUCCAAACACCACACAAAAUCAUCAUAUUUUAAAAAGGAUGUACUGAAUGUGCUAUUUAUAGUUUUUUUCGAAAUGUGUUUUCCGGAGACUCAAGCUUUCCACCGUAGCACCAUACAUGUUUUGAAGUUUAAGUAAUGCUGAUGAAUAAACACCACAGCUUACUUGGCCGUAUAUCUUGAGACGAAAACUGAUGUUUAUCAUAGAAUUGUGUGCACUGGCAUUGUGAAAGCCAGUUCAAAAAAAAAAUUGUGUGCAUUGCCAUGCUUAUGAGGGAUGGUAUAUAUGAGAUUGUUAUUUUGUAGCCGAAUUGUAAUACAAGAUGUUACUAUUAUAUUUUCAAUAAAAGAACGAUUUUAUCACCUCCAACAAGCCAGGCAGAGAGUGGAGAAGGAGCAAAGGUCAUCUUAGGAAAAAUUCAACAAUAAAGAUUAGCUCCAAUUAUUAUUGUGUUGUUGUCUUUCACUCUCGAGCCUUGUGCUCACCUUUCUUCUCGCUGCAUCUUUCUCCUCUCUGUUACAUAUAUAGUAUAUACUAGUCAAUCAUUGUUCUCAGUUCUCACUAACAGUAUUUUCCCCACAAAUAAUUUAUUGAUAUGCAAAUAAAGAGAAAAUGUGUUUGGCAACAUGAUGGAGACCAAUCAUGUGUUUUGAUUUUUUUUCUGCAUUGGUUGUUUAUUAAUAAUCUAUUUAAUAAUUUAUUUAGACAAAUUUGUUCAUAAAAAAUGAUUUAAAACAUAUAUUAUUUAUUUAUAUAUUAACAUAUAUUAUUUAUUUAUAUAUUAUAUUCUAUAAAAACUUUCCGUGAAUAUUAUAAUAUAUUAUUUAGUUUACAUAUUAAAAUUAUUAUAAACAAAUUUAUAUGUCUAAAAUAUUUUUUCAAACCAAGUACUAUUUUUGAAUUGUUAUAUUUCAAUAAAUUGAUUAAAAAGGUUUAAAAGUCGAAGUAACUGUUCAAUGAUACUCAAUUGAAGUUUUUAUUUUUUUCCAACAAAUAUAGUAAAACGCAUUCAUCUGUUUCUAUUUUCUAUAUAACUAAAACUUGUACUUUUAAGUAUUAUCUUAAAAUAUUUUGAACCUUUUUAACACUUAGUCUACCCUGGAGAAUAUGAUUUGAAACCUAAAAAUUAAACCAGAACAUAAAUAAAAAAGAACGAAACUGAAACUAGAAAAAAUUUUACAAAAACCCGAACAUGUACUAUUUCUUUAAAUCUGAAAAUAAAAAACCGAACCAAAAUUGAAUGGAUAAAUAUUCAAAUAUAAUAAAAUACUAAUUAUUUUUAAUUUAAAAAUAGCUAUACUUUAUAAUUUAUAAAUAAAAAAAUUAUUCAAAAAACUGACCUACUUGAAUAUUUUCAGUUUUAAGGGUUUUAUCUAGGAUUUUCACAAGUUUUUUUAAUUUCAUUUUUUUUUCUUUUAACUCGAGGUAAAUCGGAAUCAUUUUUAAUUCAGUUAUAUUUUAGGUUUUAUAAAAAAAACAGACAUGAACCCGACAUUAAUUAUUCGAACCGAUCCGUUCUAAGAUCAUAAGGUUCUUAAACAGGUCCUAAACAUUCUAGCCAAAAUAAUUGGACCCGAGCCGAACCUUAAUCUCUAAAUACCCAGCUCUGAUUUAAUCAACAAUGAUAAUUUGAUAAAUUAGUUGAUCUGCAUUUUCUGCAUAUUUACUUGUUAUGUAUUAUCUAUUGAUUUGCAUAUUUUGAACAUCGUCACCCAUUCGAAGUCUUUAUGAUAUUGUCUAUUUCUAUAUUAUAUACGCAUCAUAUUAAAAGUAAUAGUUAAGAUCAUAGAUAAUUAAUUCAACUAGAAAGGACACUAACAAUUUUGUCAAAUGUCAUUGGUUCGAGUGAUUAUUGAGAAGAAACUAGUAUUACACAAUAUGGUUUUGGUCUUAUAAUAUUACAUAUUUGGGCCUCGAAUUUUCUGGGAUUCACAAAAAGAAAAAUAAAUUUAAGUGAAAGCUUUUUUAAUCAGUUAAUAAUAAGAUUUGGAUUCUGAUUUUAAGAAAUAUUAUAAAGUGAAAAGAUUGACGGAAUUAACCAAAAAACUUCAUUAAACCUAGAACAAAUGAGGAAGUUGAUAAAUAUACAACAUAUGAUGCAAGAUCUAGACUAGUAAAUAGCUAGAAUGUAGAAUUUCGUAUAUUUUGUUAUGUACGAUACUUACCAACCACUGAAACUAUCUGAAAAAAAAGACUCGAGCUUAAAGAGGACUCCACUUUACCAACCAUAAAGUAUAAACCCUUCGAUCAAUAAACGAAAUUACUAUGAAAUAAAUCAGUAUUACAUUAGUUCUGGAUCGACAAAUUCAUAAUGAAAUACAUGUAGAAAGUUUUUAGUUAGUUAUUUUUCUCUCUUCCUCAUUAGGGCCGUGCGACUUUUAUAGAUGCCCAAAGAGAAAAAUAAAAAAAAUAAAAUUAUUUAAAAGUAAUACAUCAAAAUUAAUAAAUAAUAUUUUGUUGACAAAAAUCAGGAUUGUUAUAUAACAAACAAUUAAAUAACUAAAUUUGCAAAGAUAGUUCUAAAAUAUAACAUUUUAUAUUCAUCCUAUAAAAUCUAUAAUUAAGAAAAAAUCAUUUUAAAUGGCCUCCAUAAUUAUUUUGUAUAGAUAAAAUAAUCAAGUGACUCAAUGUUUUUAAUUGAUAUAUUCAAGCAAACAUAAAUAGAUUACUAUACAAACUUAAAAUAAUUAUACAAUAAAUAGAAUUACAAAUUUGCGAUAAAUAUUGAGAAAUAAUAUAUUAUACUUAAAAGUGAUAACUACAAAAAAUACGAGAAGACAAUGUUGAUAACUUGUAAACUUCUAGUCAUGUUAGUUAUUUAUUAUUUGUCCCAUAUAAUAAAUUGAUUUAAAUACAACAGUAUAGUUAAUAGUAUGAAUACUAGCAUUGCAUAUGAUGACACAACUAAAUACUUGAUUUGAUGCAUUUUGAUGCGAUAAGCGAAAGUUUAUUUUCUUACUAGGCAUGCACGGGACCGUUCCUCUUCUAUAUGUCGAUGUCUAUGUAACACCUGAGUAAACAUGAAGUAGAUUAAUUAGCUUGAAUAGAUGAAGCGUUUUAAUUACCAUUAGAAGAAAAAAAAACAUUUUUCCCCACUAUCCCUUCAAGGCCAUUAUUUUUGCUUAAAGCUAAGUUAUAAUUAUGCUCUUUCCGCCAGAAACGGGUUUUUGUCUUGUUGAAAAUAAAGGAAUGAAGUGACUCAAAGCGUCUUCCUAAAGCUAAGAUAUUCUAUUUACUGCGUUAAGAAUACACUUUAUUCCAAUAUACAGUAUAUAACGCGAAAAUAGUUUGAAAAUUGGACGAGGGAACAAAAAAAUACUAAUUUCAUGUCCCUACUAUAUAUUACUAAAAUAUUAGCAUAUUAAAGUUGUUGUGCAAUCACCUACUUCAUACGAAAUUUUCCAUGAAAGUAUAUUUUAAAUGUAUUCGAAACAAUGAAAACAAAAUAAGAGAGAAAAUAAUUACAUGGUGAUGUGAUUGUAAGUUUGUAACUGUGGUUCGUGAAUAUAUGACAAGUUAAGUAUAAUAAGCAAGUCUAAUUCUGAAACCCUAGGCGACGAACACUGCAUGCCAAUAGUAGAAACAGUACGUACGAUCACGAGAUCAAACUUAUACGUACUUUUGUUUCUUAGGAUCCUUCCACUUGUAGGCACUAGCCCCUUGCCACGUGGUCCCCAUCCAUUAGCUUUAUGGGCCUCAUGAAGCCCGCGGGGCCUAUGUUCCCAUCCAUGCACAUGCUUCACAUUAGGCUUUAGCUAUGUUAGUGGGUAUAUUUUUAAAUACUAACUUUAAUACGCAUUUUGAAGUACAAAUAAACGUAUAAAAUAAUAGGCCUAUGUGCCUUUGUGGAAGAAACGGCCAAAGAAAAACGUUGUGGCCUCCACGAAGGUUGCAAAGACUCAUUGUCAUUUGCACGUGAUGACCACCUUCUCCCAGUGUCUUAUAAUAUGUGUGUAUUAUAUAGCUCGCAUGUAUAAAUAUACUUUAUAGAAUUCACAUAGUUAUAUAUUUGAGUGUAGGACCAUUCAUGAAUCUUUAGCACUAUACUCUAGUUUGAAGAAUGGGGAUAAUAUGAUAAAUAAGUCAGUUGGCCUAUUUCUAUUGAAUUUUCUAGUAGUACUCAGCGUCAAUAUUUAUUGAAUACCUGUAUGAAAUCCAUUGUGGGAUUAACUUCAGACGGCCCAAGUAUAGGCAUGUUAGUGGACACUACAUCCAAAUUGUUCUUUCCUAUGACUACCAUAUUGAUGGGCUUAACUUUAAAGCCCAUAAUACAUUGUAACUUUUUGAGUGAUACAAUUUAAAUUUAUGAUGUUGUCUCACUGGCUCCCUGAAGAUGAUUUUUGUCUCAGAAAAUCCAUCGAGGUUGAAGUUUUCACGAAACCCUAGUUUCCACUCUCUUUGUGUCUUCAUUUGUCUCUUGAUUUUAACUUCUACUACUUUAUGUUAUUUGUGUUUUUUGUAUCUCGCGUUCCUAUUACGAGUUGAUGUUACUGAAUCUUGAACUGAAACCCUAAAUUACUGCAGCGUUUAAACCUCUCACUCUUUCUCUAUAGGCAGUUGACAUGGUAGUUUGUGUCCCAAGUCAUCCAACUUUGGGUUUAUCAUAACUUUGAUUAGAUCGACUCUUACGAGUUUCUAAUGGUUUAUUUGCCGAUUACUAGACGUACUCCCAGGGCCGGUCCUCGACAAAGUCUAAUGAAACAUUGGACCUUAAAUUCCCAAAUUUUUAGAAAAAUGUUACAUUGAAAUAGGUUUCCAAAAAAAUAAUUUUAGACUCCCAAAUUUAUUAAAUUUCUUUUUUAGUUUAUAUAUUUAAUAAAUUGUCUAAGGUCCCGUAAAUCUCAGGGUCAAACCUUGCGUACUCCGUGUUUACCAUGGUCUAUGAUAGAAAUAUUCACUAUCUAAAUCCUUGAUUUGCAAACAUUAAUGGUUAGUUUAGUUUUCUUGCUACAAUAGAAUGUAGCCUCUCUACAGUCUCUAGCGAAAGGAGCAAUUCAAGAAGAAUUUCAAGAUCCUCUGUUUCAACAACCCAAUACAAUCUUCACUGAGACAACAUCAGUGUCACAUCAGCAAGUAGUUCACGAUCAAGAAGAGAUUUGCAUUGGUCGAGAGUCUUAGGGCAUCCACAGUGGAUGGUGUCUAAAGAAGUCUCUUGUCAGAUAAAUGAUAAACUAAGGGCAAAUUUUAUGAGAGAGGCAAGAAUUGGACAUAGACGUCUUUGGUACGAGAGACCACACAUAACUAUUUGAUAGAUUUUCUUACAGAUGUCUUUCUAUUAUUUUUUCUAAGUUUGUUUUGUAUUUUAAUUUAAUUAAAAGAUAACUUUAUAUCAUAAAUAUGUAUACCAGAGAUCGUGAUUCAGCUCUCACCGAUGCGGAUCCUCUUAUAUACUUGAAAAGCAAAUCAGAGGAAUAUUGUAAUAAAUCUAUAUCACUGCCUGUAUUGAAUCCACUUCCAGAAAUCAUUAAAAUUAUAUUAGAAUCUCUUUAUAAGAUAGUUUGUUAAGACCCUAUAUAUUAAUGUUGAUAUUUAUACUAAUCUAAAUAAUACUCUCUUUUCCAAAAGUAAGUUUUUAAGAUUUUAUUCUUUUUUCCCAAAAAAUAGAUUUUCUAUAUUUCAAAAGAAUUUCUAUAUUUAAACAAAAGAUUAACUGAAAUAUUUAAAUUAAGUAAAUAAUAUUGAUCAAUAGUUAUUAGAAAUGAUAUAAUAAAAAUAAAUAAUAAAUUUAAUUGUAAUAUUUAUUAUAUUUUAAUAUACAUAAAUACUUUAGAAAACAAUUUCGAGAACAAAGGAAAGAAAUCACAAAAGACGAAUCUAGAGUUUUUUUUAGAACAAGGUGGAUCUAAAGUUGUGAGAAAAAGAAAUCAUAUAAACAUAUAAUGUGUUUUAAUCAUGGAAAAUUACCACCAAUAACAUAUUCAUAGUACCACUUUUCAUGUUUAUACUAAUCAAUUUUACCCUCACUUUUAAUGAAGGAUAAAAAACACUUGUACUCCUAGGGUUAACUAAUCUGAACUUAGGGUUUAGAGUUGAGGGGUGGGGUAUGAUUUUUUGAAUGUGAAAUUUAGGAUUCUAAUAAAUAAAUACAAAAAAAUAUUAAAUUUUUUUAAAAAAAAUUGUUUCAAACAUAAUUUUCGAUUUUCAAAAAAAAAUUGAAAAAAUAAAAAAAAACAAUUUUGAGAAAAAAUCAAAAAGAAAAAAAAUUAUAAAAAAGUUCGAAUUUGAAAACGUAUAAUUGGAAAAAUUUAAAAUUUAAAAUUUGUUUAUUUAUUUAAAUAAUGAUUUAUUAUAUAUAUACAACAAGGGUAUAAAAGUUUUUUGCUACUUGAUGAAUAAUGUAUUUUUAAAAAUGUAUCUUUGGUGGUGGUAAAGAUGAAAAGUGGUACCAUGAAAAUGGUGAACAUAAAAUUUCUUCUUUAAUUAUUUACGUAAAGAAAGAUCCGCCACCACCAGUCAACUUGGUUGGUAGCGCUUCACACCCGCCAUCAUUGGCCACUUCCGAUACAAAGUUCUUCGAUGGCUUCAAUCAUAACUUUCCAAAACAAAGAUAACACAAUAACAUUGCAAACAUAUAACAAGAUGAUUGAUAUGCAGCUAUCUAACAUAUACAUGGUAUUGUAGAUAAGUUUCGUUUUUGUUACAUUUGGAAGUGUCUUAAAUUUUGUUAUCCAGGUUGACAUUUGGAAGUUGCGGUUUUGAGGGGGAGGGGUUGGGUAAGAUUUUUUGAAUGUGAAAUUUAGGAUUCUAAUAAAAAAAAUUUUAAAAAAAUUUUAAAAAUAGUUUCAAAAAUAAUUUUCGAUUUUCAAAAAAAAAUUGAAAAAAUAAAAAAAACAAUUUCGAAAAAUUUUAUAAAAAAAGUUAGAACUUGAAAAAGUAUAAUUCGAAAAAUUUAAAAUUUAAAUUUUAUUUAUUUAUUUAAAUAAUGAUUUAUUAUGUAUAUAUAGAUAACAAGGGUAUAAAAGUCUUUUGUCACUUAAUGAAGAAUGUAUUUUUGAAAAUGUCCAUUUGGUGGUGGUAAAGAUGAAAAGUGGUACCAUGAAAGUUAUUUAUCCACAUAAUAACAUACAUACCCUAAACAAAUUUUUGCUUCAAUACAUUUUGCUUUUAAGUUCUUUUUUGAGUUUGGUUCAUGAUAUCUUGCGUAUUUACAUUGUUUUAUCUAUUCAUUCUUGUACAUUUUGAUCAUUUAGUAUAAUAUUUAUACAUGUUUAGGUUGUAGUGCAUUACAUAUGUCCUUAUCUAGUGAUGAAGAUGUCAAAUGGUGACUUUGGAGAUGGUUUGGAGGCAAGAUUGGUGAUUCUCGAGAUUGAGACGAGAUGACCAAGUGACCCUGCGGCCUGAUGACCUCGCAGCCUUGGGACCUCGUCGAGAAACCGCUGCAUCCGUUCAAGAAUGAAAAACCAAAGUAUGGGAGCGGCCUUGCGCAGCGGAGUGUUGAAGCCGCUGGUAAAAUGCACAUGCCCCUGUCGAAUACCGGGAUGACGCAGCGGCCAGAUGACGAUGCCAGGAAACCGCUGUGAGCGUCCCAGCAACCUAGUGGAGCGCUUUCGCGAAGCCGCUGCGAGUCCAAAAAGUCAACAAUUCGGGAUUUAACCAGAUGUUAACCCAUUUGUGUUUGGGUCAAUCCGAUUUGUCGGGUUGACCUCGUUCGAUUUUAGAUUGCCAUAAAUACUUUUUAGACCUAUUCUUAGGGAUUAUCCUUUUUUUUUUAUCUAAACACAAACCUAUUUUGGUGAAAGAUUCAAUCUUUAACUUUUUUUCAUCUUUAUAUAUUGUGUUUAUUGGAUUAUCUUGAUCACUAAUCAUGAUUAACUUUCAAUCAUCAUUGAUUCUUGGUUUUAUCAUGUCUAUUAGUGAGUAGUUACCUUUUGUAUCCAUGGUUUACGUAGAUCUAGAGUGAUUAAUGAAGAUUUGAGGUGUUUAAUGAUUAGAUCUCUAUGUUUCCAUGCAUAUUAAGUGUCCUUAAUGCUUGAUUUGACUUGAUCACUCUCAUCUUGAUAAUAAGCUAUUUUAUACCUAGAAGGUGUUUGUUAAAAUGUUUGACUGAACUUAAUAUUACUCUAAUUUGAAUAACCAAAGGGAUUUGAUGUUAGGAUUGCUAGAUGGUUAGUAGACAUGAAUAUAAUGCAUGCUUAAAUGAUUUAAACCAAUGGAAUUGAUGUUUAGUUCAUGAUUGCAUAUGGAUCUUUACCUUGGAAAAUGAUUGAUCAUUAUUAGUGUUCUAGACCUAUAGAAACUUGUGAUUGCUUAAAGUUAACACAUUGACUUGGAUUUAAUUACCUUGGGUCAAUUGCCUUAACCCAUGGAUUCUACUUUAUCAAUUGAUUGCAAAAGCUAGUCAUUGUCUUGUUUGCUUGAAGCUCGUCACUUAUCAACUUAAAUCCACUGUAUACAUUUAAAUUGAAUUGUAUGGCUUGCAUUUUUAGUGAUUGAAAUUACCUUGAAAUUGGAUUGACCCUAAAGUAUUACAACUACUUAGGAUUAAACUUAUUCCAUAUCAGUUCGCGCUUGUUUAUAACAAUUUUCAUACUCUGUUUGAUCUUAUAGUCUAUGACUGCGUGCGGAGCCGGUCCUAAUAAUUAUGAGGUUAGAAACAUAUACAAAAUUGUGGUCUAUAUAUUAGUUGUAUUUAAGAUUUCUAAAGAGAAUCGAACACGCAACAUUUAGUUUUUGUAACAUAAACCAAAACCAGUACUUUUACUAAAAACGCUAGUCAAAAGGGCCGCUAAAAUAGUUUAUCUCUGGUAGCCAGAAGCACAAACUUCUUUAGCUUUCUUCUAGGGCAAGUUCCGACUGCGUAAAUUUUCCUUACUAGAUUUUAAAUAAACAAGAGACCUUCGACCCAAAAAAAACAAGAAACCAAUCGGCUAAAACAAAUGUAGCUUAGCAUUUUUUUCCCUUCAAAUAUUGGUGUUAGAUCUGAUGCUCUGAGGGGACAUUCAUGGAAAACAGCGUAGUGUUAUCUCCCAUUAAAACUUAUUAGAUGAUUUGAACAAUGCACAUGCACGGUUUCUAAAAAUAUAUUGUUAUGGUUAAAUGUAUUCGUUGUUUGAUAUUUUUAUAGUGUACACAUGUGAUUUAAAAUGUUAUUGAAAGAAUAUAAAUUAUGUUAGGAGGUUUGUAUCCCUAGAACAACAAUCGCUUCGUUUAGUAUCAAUUACAAUAGAAACUCUAAAAAUUAAUAUAUGAUAAAUUGAUAAAUACUAUAAAUUAAUACAUUUUACUGGUUUUGAGUUGGGCCGAUGCAAAUCAGACACAAUUCGAUUAUAUAAUAAUUUUUUGAAAAAUCAUAUGUAAAAAUAUGGUUCCAAUAAAAACAUAAAUUAAGAAUUUAUGUAUAUAAAACUUAUAUAAAUAUAUUUUAUAGUUUGAUUUUGUUCACAUUAAAGUUUACCUAUAGUUUUUCAGAAUAUUUUCAAUAUAUUAUUAUUUUGUCUUUUUUUACUUAAAAUACAUUCACAUAUAUGGUACAUACUUUCUAUACUCCAAAUAAGCGAAUAAAAAACAACAUAAAUUUGUAUUAUAAAAUUUUGUCAAUACACAUAUCAUAAAACUAAGCUUUUUUUUUAUUUUUUACAUAAAACAUAUAUAUAUAUAUAUAUUUAAAUAUAUAGAUAUAAAAAUAAAAUAUUCUAUUAAUUAAAAACUCUAUAAAUUGAUAAAAUAUCAAAAUAUCAAAAUUAUUAAUUUACAGAGUUUUUACUGUAGUAGUUAUAAGAUGAUAAAUUAAAAGUAUCAAAAUCUACAUACAGAUCUACAUAGUGAGAUAAUGAAAGGAGAGACUUACGGAAUGAGACACUUUUUUUUCUUUUUUUACUUCAUUAGACACAUCUCACUUGAGGGACACUUCUUCCUCUCCCUUCCUAUGUGUUUUGACUCAUAUACCCUUUUGCUUUGGUUAGUGAUGAAUUAAUUUUAUUAUAUAAAAUUACUGUCAGCUUUGUGGGGACCAAAAGAGGAGCAACGUGUUUCCUUAAAAGAGUGAGUGUAUAUACUUUGACUCUUUUUAUAUGUAGCAAAAGAGUAUUUUAUACUAAAAGUAACUUUUUAAAUUUCCCACCAUAUUAUAUGUGUCAUUAUUUUAUAUUAUACUGUAUAAAUAAAUAUAUAAAAACAUAAAAUAAAUUAUUAAAAAUUUUCUUUAUAUUUUGAUAUCCAUAUGUAUAUAUAUGUAUUUUAAUAUUUAUCAAAAUUAAAUUUAAAUUACAUACUGUCUAUUUUGAUACUUGUGGACACACUUUUGUGGAUACAUUGUUGAUGGACACAUUUAAAAUAGUCAUUGACAUGUAUUUGUGGAUAGCUUUUUGGUAUUUUGUAGAUACAUUUUUGAUGGAUAAAUUCAAAAUAUCCACUGAAUGGCAAAGACAUUUAGUGUACAAAAUUUUAUGGACAAGAUUUUAUGGACAAAAAUCUCAAUCUUACAAAUUUUAUGUAUAAAAUUUUGUGGACAAGAUUUUUGUGGACAAAGUUUGUAGACAAAUCAUACAAAGUUCAAAGAACCAGUCCCUGAUUCGACGCCUUUAAAAGAGACCUUAACAAAUUGAUAGAAGCUUGUAAGACUUAAUGACUGCUUCAAGCUGAGCCUGAAGAUGUUCCAGCAUGUAAAGUCCAAACAUAUUUAAAGCAUAUCCUAAAUCCAAUUAACCAAACAAAGAUAGCAUGUUCAAUAAACAGAUGAAGCCAAUUUUAUUAAUCAUGAGGAAGGGUUUAUAAUCAACAAGCAAGAGCUUACAUCAUCCGUAAAAUCUCUAAUAGACACAUCAGAAAACAUAAUCACAAAACAUAAUAGGCACGAGAGCUUGUCAUCGUCUUUUCCACAACGGAGGUGGGACCUGCUCGUCGUCGCGUCCUCUCCAUACCGGAUCUCGAAUCUGUUGGCCGUCCUGUCGUCCUCUCCACAACGGAAGUCGGACCUGAUUGCCGUCGCGUUGUCCUGUCCAUACCGGAGCUCUCGGAUCUGCUCGUCAGCUCUCAUGUCCACAAAAUCUCAGAGAUUCGAUUCAAUUGAAAAAGUACAACACAAACAAUUAAAAAAAGAAAAAAAUAUAAAAAAAGUUAGGGGUUUCAAGGAGAAAGGUAUUGAAAUCGGGCGACGGAGAAUGAAGGAGAAAGGUGAUGAGAUAUGAAGAGAUAGAUACGAGAUUAUAUAGUCACAACCGCUGUGAGCCUUCUGGAUUUAUGGUGUUUUACAGAGAAAUUGAAGACGAAGAAGAAAAGAUUUAGCAAAAUUAUGGUUAGUAAACGAAGGGGCUGGGAAAUUGGGAAAAUUAGAUCUGAAUUUCAAAAAGUAAAGCCAGAGAGAGAAUAAAUGAUGGUUUCCGAAAACUCAAAAAUAAAGAAACUGAUUUGUUGAACUAUUUUUAAAAAUAUGGAAAGUGACAGCUUAGUUAGUGAGGAGAGAGUUUAGUUAGUUUGAGGGCAUGUAGGACAUUACACAAUAAAGAAGUGUGCCUCCAGCAAUAAGUGUCCUUUUGUGUAAAUUGAAAGACAAAAAGUGUCUUAGAGAGUAAAAAAAUCUAAUGAAAGUUACAACUUUGCCAUAUAACAUUUUAGCUUUUUUGGAAGGGAAUUUGCACUACAUAACCUAAAAAAUUAUUUCAAUUAGGUAUAUGGAAAUCUACUGUACAUCUUUCAUAAAUCCCAUAUGUAUCCCUAUAAAAUAGAAGUCAACUAAAUAACAAAUAGCCAUUUAGGUUUUUGCAGCAAUAUAUGUUAUGAUUUGUUGUCUCCUUUCACAUACAUUUUUGUCAAGGGCCUGCAAUUUCAAUGAUUUAGAUGUCGAAAGGUUCCAUCUUUGUAUCCCAGUAAGGCUUCCUUUCCACUGUCAUGAUAGCAUAAGUUUCCAUAUUUGCCUCCAUCGUCGUGUUUCCGUCCGCCUAUUCCUUCACCGUUGCCGCUGUCGUGUUCCCAUAAAACGUACAUGAAAUCCAAAUUCUAACUGGUCUUAUUUGUCAGGCUCUCAUCUGUAAAGUCUAGAGUUUAUUUAUUGCCAGAUUCAGAUUGAUCGUUGUGUUUUAUGCUGAAUUUUUAUGACAACUUGUUUCUUUUGGUUGAAAGCUUGUGCCUUUAUUGUAGUGGGUUUUACUUUGUAUUAACACUUUGUGACUGGCAUCUGUUAUGUCACAUCUGUUAUCUUUCGAGCCAGAGAAGGAAGUUCUAGCUCUCUUUUGCUCUUGUGAGUUCUAUUACCGACAAUUGCAAUUUUUAUCCCGCCAUAAUACCGGAUUCAACACAUAUACAUAAAGCCCACAGUAAAAUUUCUUGCGUUUAUGCUCCUCUAAAAAUAUCAACACAGUCUACCGAUUGAUUUAGUUUCUAACAUUUUCUUUUGCCUCAAAUAUUUUGCAAAUCUGGUUUUACAUAGAGAAUAGCUCUGCACCUCAAACGUACAGGAUAGAAUGGUCACUACACUCUCAACAAAUAACCACAUUUGCAAAUACUUUUGAAAUCUGUAUGAUUACCUAAUUACCGUCUACGUUUUGGUUAUUCACCUAAAUGAGCCUUUCUGAAAAGCACAUCAGAUUAAAAAAAUUCAGAUUUGAAAGUUACACAUUUCCUAUAGCAAAGUUCAUACAAUUCUUUUCCAAAAGAUAUUGAACUCAUGACCUCUUCCAUCUUUAAUAUUUAAUCUAAGAAUUUCAACAAAUACGCCCACUCCUUAUUGACCCAUUAAAUAAGGGGAAUUUUCAUUCUUACCACCUUGUUGGUACAUUUCUUCAUGUUUACAAUCAUUAAAGAGAUAUUUUCAAAAAUAUAUUCUUCAUUAAUAGACAAAAUAUUCAUAUAGCCUUACUCUAUAUAUAUAUAAUAAAUAAUUAUUUAAAUAACUGAAAAUUUGAAAACUAAUUUUUGUAUGUUUUCGAAUUAUCCAUUUUCAAAUUUGAAUUUUUUUAUUAUUUUUUUUAUUUUUUUUCUAUUUGUUUUUCACAUUUUCUUUUUGAAAUUCGAAAACUAUUUUAAAAAAAUUUAAGUAUUUAUUUAUAUAUUUAUUAGAACCCUAAACUCCACCUUCCAAAAACUCUAUCCUACCUUUCAACUAUAAACCAAUCUAGAUUAGUUAAUCAUAGAGUUAUAAAUUUAUUUUUCUCAAUUAAAAAAUGAGGGUAAAAGUAUUUAAAUUUAAUACUUAUUUUUAUAUAGUAUGGACUCUUUUUUUUUGACGUCGAACAGCCAUUCUAUUACUCAAACUUGAGGUGGUCUGGGUAACCAGACCGGAAUAGAACAACCAAUGAAAAAUAACUUCCUACGGAAAGUCCUAGCAGUCUUAGCUAAAAAGUCCAAAAAUUGAUUGCGUACUCGUGGAACAUGGGUGAUCUUGAAGUCCGGGAAACAAAUAUGCAGCGUCUCUAUCUUUUCCAAUUCUGCCGCGAAGCUUGGUCACUUCUGGGGUUCAUUUACCAUUGCAAUCAGCUCCUUGCAGUCUGUUCCAAAGCUCUGGCAUGGCGAGUGUCGAAGCACAAUCUCCAUCGCCCAGCAGUGCUUCUACCUCUUAAUGCAAUGCUAAUUCAUAUCGAGUGAAAUUCCGUGUACCCAUAAGUUGUAUGUUCUCUCCACUAUCCAUCCAAGCCCAUCCACAUCUACUAAAGCGAUCAGAAGCUGUCCAAGAUCCAUCCAGUAGGCAAAUAUUAUCCAAGUUUAAGACUUGGGUUUCCUCACUAUUGCUGGCUUGUACUACCAAUGGUAACGUCUCAUUUGCACUAAACCGGACUUGACAUUCACUUUCUGCGUAUCGUAGUAGUUCUAAAGAAUCUCUGUCUAUUCCCCUGAAGAGUUUAUCAUUACGAGUCUUCCAAAUAUACCAUAUUAUCGAGGGAUAAGGAUCUCUGUCUUGGUCUGGGUCUAUGAUAUUAUUCUUCCUCCAAAGUAGAUAGUCCAUAUUUGUAUAGACGCUUGACAUUGGAAAUGUACCUUGGCUUGUAAGAGUUACCGAUAAGGACCAUACUUGUAGAGCAGGAUGGCAAUCGAAUAUAGCAUGAGUUACAUAUUUCUCUGCUUCCCCAUACCUAGGACAGUAAUUAUCACACCUUAUAUUCCGCUUUACUAGAUUUCUCGUUACUGCCACCUGACCCGUUAUCAAUUGUCAUAUAAGAUGACACAUCUUUUUUGGCGUUUUUAACUUCCAAGCAAAGGCUUGAAGUUUAAUGAUACUUGGUUCCAGUAUUUCUUUUUCCUCAUCUGGCUUCAACAGAUUUUAAGCAAUCCAGUAUCCAAAUUUAACUGUGUAUUAACCAUUCUUCGUGUAGUUGCAGCAGAAAGUAUUAUGACGAUGAGUAGAGCUUAUGGCCAUACUUCGAACGAGUGGUAUGUCAUCAGGAUGGACUCUUUCUUUUUAUAUUAGGUCCUUUAUUACUUCAUAUUCUCUCUCCUUUUAUCACAGAACUAACAAAACUUCACAUCUUCUGUUCUCUCCUUCUACGCUCUCUCUUCAUCUCUUUCUCUCUUCUUAAUCGAUUCGAUUGAUGAAGAUCAGGUGCGACGUCUGCGACAAAGAAGAAGCGUUGGUGUUUUGCACCGCCGACGAAGCGUCUCUAUGCGGCGGCUGCGACCACCGAGUCCACCACGCUAACAAACUCGCUUCCAAACAUCUCCGUUUCUCUCUCCUCAAUCCUUCUCCUUCCAACAACUCAUCUCCUAUCUGUGACAUCUGUCAGGUCUCUAUCAGUUUCUUGUCAAGAUUUUAGGACAUGGGUUUUGUCUACUUUCCUUGUUAAAUCCAUUUCUUUUCUUUUUGUUAAACUGUAGGAGAAAAAAGCUCUGUUGUUUUGUCAAGAAGAUAGGGCUAUUUUAUGCAAAGAUUGUGAUUCAUCGAUCCACUCCGCCAACGAACACGUCAAGAAACACGAUAGGUUUCUUCUCACAGGGGUUAAGCUCUCUGCAACAUCCUCUGUGUAUAAACCUACUUCAGAAUCUUUUUCAAGCAGUCAAGAUUGUUAUGUCCCUGGACCCCGUUCUUCCAAGAAACCUCUCUCAGCUUCUCAGAGCAACAGCUCUAAGAUCCAACUUACUUCGAAGAUAGUAGGUGAUGCGGCAGUGAAUCAGUUGGGAUCCACAAGCACGAUUUCAGAGUAUUUGAUGGAUACGUUACCUGGUUGGCACGUUGAGGACUUUCUUGAUUCCUCUCUUCCUCCUUUUGGUUUCUCUAAGGUUCGUUUCUUGUUUUUCUCUCUAAUCAAGUUCUGUUAAUCAAGAUUUGAUGUUUAUUUGUAACUUUAGUGACUGAAUAUAUCAUCACUUUCAUUUCCUCGGUUUACGUGAUAUCAUAUCAUAUCAGAUCUGAUUGAGAUACAUAAAAGUCACAAACUACUUUAUAGAUGUGGAUAGAUAUUUUUCUAAUUUAGGUAUUGUAUAAAGUUCUGAAUUAUUUUCACUUUUCUGUGUGUUUUCUUUUGUAAUUGCAGAGUGGUGGUGAUGAUGGAGUGUCACUUCAAUCUAAGAAUAUGGGGAUUUGGGUCCCUCAGAUUCCACAAACUCUUCCUUCUUCAUACACAAAUAAGUACUUUUCUCAGGACAACAACAAUAAUCAGAUUGGGAUGUACAACAACAAAGAAACAUCACCAGAAGUGCAGAUGUAUGCUCCAAUACAAAACAUGAAACAACAAGGACAGAACAAGAGAUGGUAUGAUGAUGGUGGCUUCACUGUCCCACAGAUUACCACUUCUUCUAGUCAUCCUACUCCUCUUCCUUCUAACAAAAGGUCCAGAUUUUUCUGGUAACUGACAUGUGGUCUUUGUUUGUUUGUUUCCCUUUUGAUCUUCUUGAUUUUUAGGGGUUUCGUUGUCUUUUGUAAAUUUUGAGUGUGAUUAAUGUUGCUGUUUUAAUCUUUAUAAUAAUCCUAUGUGUUCUCUUGUGUUUUAUGCAAAUGUUUUUUUUGUCCUAAUAAGUUUUCAUGUAAAAGUUUCCAUGACUUAUUUUGUGAAUCAUGGAGCUAGACAUUUUUGUGUUGAAGCAAGACUUCAGUGAAAGAAAUUAGCUAUUUUUAAUUAUAUAUUAUCUACAUUAUUUUCAUUUGUCAGGAGAAAUAAGUCAAAAGUUAAUGUAAGUUCCAAAUUCUAUGUAUGAAAUCUAAUGGUGUACGUAUUUUUGUUUGUGAGGAAGUCCUUUUCAUCUUCUGCCUUUCCCAUACGGGGGAGAGGAUUGUUCUUGGAUUUGGUUGAUAUUUAUUAAGAAAUAAAGAUAUGAAAAGAGCAUAUAAUGGAGAUAGAUUCAUCAUCACGUGCCCAUCACCAUCGGCAUAUAUUUGUUUCUUAGUGAAUAUGCCUCCAAAUAUGUUAUAACUAAAGAGACGUCACUAUGGCAGCAAAAACUAUUAAUAUAAACUACCAACACGUCCUUAGCUUGUUUUCAUUACCAAAGUAAGUGGAAAAGGGUAGUAAGAAAGCAUCAUGAGUCGAGUUGAAACUAAUCCAUCCAAAAUCAAUGACCACAUUGUUCUUAUUCACGGUUGGGACGUAGAAGUUGAGUUGCUUUCUACUACUCCUAAUAAGGGGGCUUUUGAAGUGUGGUUUGCGAAGGGAAUCGUACGUGAGUGUAUACAGAGGAUGGUUGAUGUCGUGUAUAUAGCUCGUUUUCGGUUUUAUUUGUUUCAAGUGCUGGACAUGUUGGUGUGACUUGGUUAGAAAAGACUCAUUAUCGUCCUUGUGCUAAACUGACCCAACUAAUUUAGGCCCAUAUUGUUUCAUUUAUAUCAAUCGUUUGCUUCUGAUAACCCGAAAGCUGACUUUUUGUCGAAACUUUUUUUCUUGUUUUUAUUUUUAUUUUUGAUAAGGAUGUGAAUUUCAUUUCAAAUGAGAGUUUUUGUACUCGUACAAAAGUUUAAAGAGGAAGCAAACCUAAACAAAAAAAAAUCAAAAAUUUAGACUACAUAAGCUAAGUUGAACCAUUAUUCAUGUGUCAACUUGAUUUGCUUGUCGAUCUCUUUAAAGCUCAUUUGCACUGAUAUUGUAGAUUCAUUAUGUACUCGUUGGUUUCGUUUGCGCCAGACUCUGUAGAUGAUUGCUUGAACCAUUAGCUUGCGGAGGAUAGAUGGACAGUGAGUAACCUUCAAUCCUAUCCAAACGAGAAGAGCUUCCAAAGUAUAGAAAAGAACUGGUAUGUAACCCAGUUUCCUUAUCGCCAUCUUCCAGAUUUCUUCUGCAUAAGCACAUCUUAUGAAGAUGUGAUCACGAGUUUCGUGAUAGUGAUUACAAACACAACAACAUGUUUCAAUCUGAAGUCCCCAUGAAGCAAGGCAUGAUCUUGUUGGAAGUCUGUCCAGCCGUGCUACACACAUCAUGAAAGCAUGGCUUGGAAUGUGACCUUUAAACCAUACCUUAUCCGCCCAAUUUGCUUGUGACCACGAUGCCUUAAUGUUUUCCAUGUGUGAUUUGCAGAAUAACUCAAAUCUAUGUCAUUAGAAGAUCAUGGAUAGAUAUCAUGAGCCAGAGAAAAAGAAGGCAGAGGUAUUGAGUUGAGCAUAAUCUGGAACUCCUCUGUUUCCGGUGAUCUAGCUGGUCGUAGUAACCAGCCAGGUUCCGAGCAAGCUUCUGCAACCUAAGAGGUCAACUGUAUUCAUGUUUGCGUUGGACCCAAGGACCAAAAUGCUCAAUUAAUGGACCAAAAGGGGACCAAUUGUCAAACCAAAAUCUAGCCAUAUGUCCAUUCUCAAGUACACAUUAAAUGAAUCUUUUAGGAAGAGGCCGCAUCUUGAAGAGAGCUUUCCAAGUCCAUGUUGCAGUCUUGUUUUCAUCCAAGCACCAAAACGAAGAAUUUUUGAUGUAUUGGCCUUAACCUAGAUUGCACAGAAGAGAAGCCAAAUGAGUUUGAGGCAGAAAAAUGCAUAGAUUCCUGAAACCAAAUCCACCUUCAUACUUAGGAAGACUGAUUUGAGACCAAGCGACUGUAGCUUUUGCUCUUGUUGUGAUGUAUCCAUUCCAAAGGAAUCUUGAGCAUAAUGAUUCAAUCAUUUUUAAUCACCCUUUAGGGAGAAGAAAAGAUGAAAACAAGAAGUUAAUAAUGCUAUCAAUGACACAAGAGAUUACGACUGUUUUUCCCGCAUAUGAGAGCGCUCUUCGAGUCCAUGAUGAGAAUCUGCGCUUCAAUUGAUCAAUCAGUGGUCUGUAAUCACAGAUUUGUAACUUACGAUGCAUCAAUGCGAAGCCAAGAUACUGGACAGGCAAUGAUCCAAGUGAGAAGCUGAGAGUUGAGAUGUCAGCAGCUUCUGACUGAUUCAAUCCUGAGAUAAAUAAUUCGGUCUUGCUACGGUUCAUUGUGCGCCCUGACCAGGCGGAGAAGGCUUCAAGAGUAUCUGCAAUGUUCUGCAAAUAGGUCAUUUCUCCAUCAAAAAAAUCAUUAAGUCAUCUGCAAAAGCCAUGUGAGAUAUAAGCGGAUUUGAUGCCCUCAGGUGAUGACCAAUUCUUCCAUUUCUGAAAUUUUCAUUCAGCAUUGAGUGUUUAAUUAGUAAUCACUGUUAUUUAGAUGUUUCAUUAGUGCUAACAUUUUCUUUAUUUAAAAUUGUUGCAUUUAUACUCAAGUCAGCCAGAAAUCAUGCUUAAAAGCUAUGAAGCACGGGGACGGCAAUUCACUGCCGUCUCACGUACCAGAUGCGCUUCCGGGACGGGGACGUGGUGGGGACGGCUUGGGGACGUUUCCGAAACGUUUCAGAUAGAGCGGGGAUGGCAAAGGUUUUUGGGGACGUGUAGCUAGGUUGUGGAAACGUUUCUGAUGUAAAUCCAGUAUCGAUUUUUACAUUUAUUAUGUCAUAUUUUUGGAAAACAAUUGAAAAACAAGGAAACACAUCCUUAUAUAAAGGAUUAUGGUUACAAAGUUUUAAACUAUCUUCUUUUAAUCUUAAGCAAACCCUUAUUAUCUUUUAUCUUUUUCAUCAAUUGUCAUUUCUCUACGUCUAUGGAAAACACAGAGUAUUACAAACUCUGUUUUGCGUUUGCCAAUUCUUACGUAAGUGUGUUGUUUAGUUUAUAUAUACUUUUCACGUUCCAUGCUUCUCAAGUUAUGUACGAAUUAUGUUACAUGUCUUUUAUUUUGAGUUUUAUGUUUAUACAUAUUUUGUUUUGUCUAUAUACAAUUUUCUAACUUUUUAUUUUAUAUGAGAAUUAUGAUUUGAUUAUAUAUAUAUAUAUAUAUUUUUUUUUAUUGACGUACCCAUGCCGUAUCCGUAUCCAUAAAUUUUAAGUUUAGCCGUUUUCCGUCCCCGCCUCCGUUCCCGUAUCUGUCCCCGUAUCCGUCCCGGUGCAACAUAGCUUAAAAGACAAAUGGUUAAAGCUGAGUGCUCUCGAGAAAGAUUUCGUUCAAAAAUUUUGAAGACGUCUUUUCUACUGUCUUAUACUUUGAUAUAUUUGGAUAUUUUCAUCAGUAACCAUUAUGAUCCAAUAUUCAUGAUAUAUCGAGAUAUGUUUUACAAAAUACUGAGAUGUAUUUUUUAGAUGUACGUUAAACAAUAACCAAGACAUGAUAAUAGUACACUGGACUGGUUGUUGGAGGCGGAAUUAACCCUUUCACAUUUGGUCCGAGAACCCGAUCCAUACAAUAGGCUCAUGAAGGUCCAAGGCUCAUGCUGAGCUGAAGAUAUGGUCCAUACCAAACUAAUACUUUCAAACUAUAGUAUAACAGAGCUAGGUCAAAGCAUUAAAAACGACUACAAAGGUACCUGAUCCUCGUCGGAGAUCAUGUCGCCAUUACGAACCACUCUUGAAGAUCUAUAAAAGAAAGCAAGGGAAAGAAGAUGGGGAUUCAAAUUAUUAUAAGCAAUUUAUAUACUUUGGAUACAUAUAUAUGUUCUGGUUCUUAGACAUCUCCAAUGUAUUCUCUUAUUUUUACCUUUAAAAUAGAAGAAUUCUAUUAUAGAGACAAGUUUUCUUCCAGUGUGUUUCUAUAAAAUAGAGAGAUUCAUAUAUAGAGUACAAUAUAGAAAAAUACUAUUUUUUCCUUUAUAAAUAAAAGAAAAAAUAGUAAUCUUUAUUUUAGAGAUAAAAAUAAAGAUGAGUCGUAAUGAUUUUGUCUCUUAAUGUUAUUAUAGAGGUAAAAAAAUAGAGAAGAAUUGGAGAUGCUCUUAGAAUUGCUAUGUAUGUGUACUUGAAUUAUAUUUGUAUUAUCAAUCAGAUUUUUUUUUUUCCUACAAAAUCAUCAAUAUACGUACUUAUUACAUGUUUCUUGUCAUACACGACAUCGAAAUCCUAAACCUAAUUUUUGAGUGGAUUUUGAGAUCUAUCAGUGGUGCUUUGUAAUGACGUUAAUUUCCGUUUGAAACAUUUUCUUUUUAAUCACUCUCUAGAGUUUUUCUCCCACUAUCUACAGACUACAGUUGUAUAAACUUCGCUUUGAGUUCCUCUCAUUAACAAAAGAAAUUCCCUCUUUCUCAAAACGGAACUCACUAAAUGCUCUUAAUGUCAAUACAUGAAUCAAGAUGUUUAUCCAUGAACUCUUAGUUCAUUAUAGAAAUUAAAGCCAAAAGAACUACAAAUUAAAAGCCGUAAAUGAAUCAAGAUCCGAAUAUAACGGCUAAGUUUUUCGUUGUCGGCUCUCAAGAAGCUUGAAAAGAUUAGAGAAGAAACUUUAAGAACUAAGGGUAUAACAACAACAAAAAAAAAACAAAGAAAUCAUAAAAAAAAUUAGGAUCGUUGAAAACAAGCAAUAUAUCUCUCUAACGACGGCAAUGCGGUUUGCAGAGAAAGAGACAAUCAUAAAAACAAAAACCUCCACAAUGUUGAGGACAUUCCAAUCUCUUUCCUCUACAUUUCCCUUUUCCCUUGCACUCUGCAUAUUCUCUUUUCACAAAUUCUCCUCUUCCUUCUCUUCCUCCUCCGCGGCCACAAGCCCAUUUGUACCAUCCUCUACCACCACCUCCUCCUCCUCCCCAUCCCCAUCCACCACCUCCGCCCCCACCGCCACCACCUCCUCCUCCACCACCACCACCACCACCUCCACCGCCACUUCCUCCUCCUCCACCGCCGCCACCUCCCCAUCUAUAGCUAUUGCUUCCUCCACCAUGACUUGAUAUUUUCUUGUCCUUGAGAACUAUUUUGGUGGCUAUGUUGCUUUUAUCAAUGUUGUUGUUGAUGUUCUUGACUGUGUCUUGAUCAGUGGAAUGGACAUGCCCACUCUCUAGUUUGUUAGUUUGCAAGAUCAGUACGAGGAGAAAGAUAACCACCAAUGACGAACUUGUCUUCAUUUUUCUUGAUUUUCCACAAAGUUUGUAUUGUUUUCUUUGAUUUGAUAUGACAGCUUCUUCGAUUUGGUCCUCUCUUUAUAGUCCAUUUGUUUUUACCCUUAAAUGAAAAAAAAAAAAAAAAAACUUCUCACUGGCAGUUAGGUUUGGUCCUACCCAGAAUAAUGUUUUGGUCCUACAAUAAUAUUUGUUUUGUCCUGAAGAUGAAGAAAAGAAGAGGCUCGUAAUAAUGUUUUUGUCAACUUAUUAUGUGUAUUCUUUACAAACGUAUAUUGACAUAAUUAGUUAGCUCAAUACAGAAGGUUUCUUAUAAAGACGUAGAAAAUAUUCCUAUAUAUGAUCAACUCUUCCUAGUUAACCAACAAAAAAAAACUAAUUAUUAAGUGAUUAUAUACACAAAGAAGAAGAAGAGAGAUCCCUUAGGUAACACUACUAGUGGUGGUACCAACCAAUCAAUACUCUGUCUUCUCCUUCAAUGAACAUCUUUCUUCUUCUUCUUCUUCUUUUUUGUCAACAAUACAAAAAGAAAACUUAGGCAAUGAUGCCACUAACGCAUUAUAUUCAAUCAAACUUUUUUUGCAAGUUGGUAUUUGUGGAGUAUUUGGUACGGUUAUUUAUACUUACCUUGAAAGUUAUCCAAUUUCAUUUCAUCUACUUAGUCAUGAAACUGGUCCACCGUUUAUCUCCCACUAAGAGUUUCAUUGUAUAUAAUCAAUUUGAUCUUUUACGAAUUGUUUAAUAGAUACCCAGAUGAACUAUGAAUGGCUUGCUCACAAAAUACAUUUACUUGCAUACCACAAGAUUAUCCUCCUUAAACCAAUCCUUUUCAAUAAUUCAAGAUUGAUAACCAAUGUUUUGUAAUAAAAAUGGAUUCUGAAAACUUAAAACUCUCCAUCUAUUUCAAAUUUCAUAUAACACAAUCAAUGUCUAAAACCUCAUAAAACCAACUUUGACUCAUUCCAACAGUAAAAAAUACAAAGUAAGUAAAACAAGAGAGCAGAGCUUAGAAUCACCAAACAUGAACCUAAAGAGUAUGAAGAAGAAUGAACUUCGAUUGGUUGAUUUUAAAACUUCAGUAACGGCGGCCUCCACAGUUAGCGAGCCGAGCAGAUGGGCACUCGUAAGCCAUAUGUCCUCGGCCACCACAGCUGUGCCAUCUUAUCAUAGAACCAGCACCUUCUCUUCCCUUUACUCAAUCCAUCUCUGUCAGAGUAACUGCUGUCCCCUUUUGGGCAUUGUCUGACAACAUGUCCCGAGAUGCUGCAAAUGUUACAGACUGGAUCGUUCUAGCAAUCACGAGCUAAGUGACAUGACGUCCAGCAGUUUUUGCAUGCCUUGUCGUUCGUGCAGUCCGCAGCGAGAUGCCCCGGUUUGAAGAACUUGUUGCACAGCCUCCAGUCCCCUAAACGAGAAACCGAAUUAGGAUAAUCUCUAACAAUAAUUGCGACGAUAACAUCAUCGCAGUAGUAGAUGAUAACUUCAUCCCCAAAGUAUGUAUGGAAGCAAAGAGUUAAACUAAAACCAACCUAACGCUAUCAACUCAGGUAAAGAACACAACAAACACGGAGACUAAUCAUAUCAUCUUGGUAACAAGUAGAAGAGAGAGAAGAAGGAAUGAGAGUUGAGAAGUUGUUAAGCAAGUCCAAGUCAUAAGCACGUAGUAUUGUGGCUGCAUUGACAGCUAGGCAUUACCAACAGUGUGAUUACUACUACACAAAGGCUCGAGCCAAAAAUGACCUGAAAGCACGAUGUGUCUCAUGCUUCCUUCUACAAGGAGCAUCGCUGCGAGAAACUUGUUCAGAUAUCCCUUCCAUAGAGUUUUGUUUCUGGGCUGGGCUUAUUACGUGGGCCGAGCUAUGAAUUUAUCUGAAAUGGCCGAAUUGCACAUAUAAAAACUAAAAAACACCUCCGUUGCCGGCACUCGAACCCGGGUCUCUCGGGUGAGAGCCGAGUAUCCUGACCAGCUAGACUACAACGGAUUUGUGGUUUAUGUGAACAAGUUGCGCAUAUUAAUUACUUAUCUACUUUUAACUUUAAGUUCUACCAUAGUAUAAAAUGGCGCUAGUGUAGGUAAACACAAACCCUAUAGCAUAACAAUAUAAAUCUUGAAUAAAUUCCCAAUAUGAUAGAACACAUCAAUAUUGUGUGGUUUGGACAUACAAUUGUAAUAAGGUUAAAUUGUUUUGAAGGGGUGAAAAUGCAAUUAAUGUGAUGUGUGUACCUACUUUUGUUCAUAAUAAAAUCGAACACUGUAUAGGGUUUAUGUAUUAGUUAGCAAAAACUUGUUACUUUUGACCCAAAUUUUUUUUGCUAAAUUACUAUAUUGAGGGGAAAUAUUAGUCUUGUAGUAAGAGGGUAGAGAAAAAUAGAAAGCAAAAAAAGAGAGAGGGAGUGAAAUGGUUAGUUGGUGAAAUAUAGAUUUUUUUUUUGUUAUAGGUUCAAAUUUUCCUUGUUAUAAAUUGCAUGUUUUUAGAAUGUAUAGUUUAUUUCUAGUCAAAUAUCUUUCUCAUAACGUUUAUUUCAAACAUAUAAAAUUAUCUUUGGUAGUCUAAGUCACAUUUUAUAAUAUUAAAAAUAAACAACAAAAAUGGCAUAUUGGCCAAAGUUGAGGUAUGGUUAGUUGUGUCUUGUAAAUUCGCUUUAAAAUAUACAUGAUGGUCCUAUGUGUUUUCAGUUUAUGCCAACUACUUCGCUGUUGUGACUACAAGAAAUAUUGGUUUUGAUAGCAGUAGAGAAUAGCGUUUUUUGUCUUUAUGCUAUGGUUGACAUAACCGUUAGUUUUAGAUAGCGUUUGUAUAUUUUGAAACGCUAUGAUAACGUAGUAUAUUUGGAAACGUUAUGAUAGCGGAUGUUUAAUAGCAAAAUAAUUAAAAUGCUAUGUUUGGUUUAUCUAAUCCCUAAACCCUAAACUCCAAGUAUAAACCUUAAAAAUCUUAUGUUCUCACACUAUAACUUCAAAUCUUGAAUUUUAACUCAAAUUUAUUCUUUUUAAGUUUAAUAUAUAACUUCCAAAUACACAAACCUUAAUUCCUCAAUCAAACUCUAUACCCUAAAUCCUAACAUGAAACAUAUAUAAACCAUACAUCCAAUACAUAUAAAUUUCAAAUCUAAAAUUUUAUUAAUCUAACAAAUUAUAAAUCUAAAUCUUAAUCACAAAUCCUUAUAUAGUAACUAUAACCCUUGUACUUUCAAAAUUUUUAACCCUAAAAUCAUAACACAAAACACUUUACACAAACUAAUUAUAAAAACCCCAUUAUGCAGUUUUUGAAAAUCAUAUAACCACAAAAAUCUAAUCAAAAUUUAUAUUCAUAUGUUAAAUUACAAUAUAUAAUCUUUACAUUUAGGCAAUUUAUAAAACAAUUAAAAAGAAAUCUAAAAACAAUUUUAGUGCUUCUUUUUAUGACCAUUGAUUGAUUCUAAUCUAAGGGCUGAAAUUAUUCUUUUGUCUAUCUCAAACCUUCUCUGUCAUUGGUUAAUUUUUUUCUAAAAGAUCAGAGUUCUUAGCCAUUGAUGCAACGUAAUCCAAAGGCCACAAUUUAGUCUCUCUUUCUCACUUAUCUUCUCCUAUACGACUUUUUAUUUUUCUUUCUUCAGCGACAACAUCGAAGAUGAACCCAAUGAGGGCAAAGCACCUGGUUGUUGGACCACCAUCGAAGAAGAGACGACGGCACCGGUCUGAGUUCGUCGCUGUCGUCACCGGUCUCGAACUCGGAGGGAGCAUGGUGGUGCUUAGUAGCGAGGGUGAUUUCUGAAACGGCGGCGGAGAGAGGAGGCGUGAAGAGUUCGAGGUGGUGAUGAAGUUUUGUCAAAGCAAAGCCCUCGCAUCAUCGCAGUGCUCAUCCUCUUGUCCAGUGACGUUUUAAAACUCCUGAAGCAGGUUCGGUUGUUGUGACUCUCUCUCUCAGCAUCUGUGUUUUCUUAAUUUUGGGUAUUAAUUUUUAGGGUUUUCAGAUCUGUUUAUCCAUGUCAGUUAUGAUUCCUUUUUUUUUUUGGAAAGCCAAUGUCAGGAUUACACAGGUGAAGUUUGGAUUGUUCUUUUAAGAUGUAUCCUCGGAUUUGAUUAGUGAAUCACGUGUUCUGUUCUGAGACUUUCAUUUGAUUCUUAAGAUGGCAAAGGAAGCUAGCGGUGGUGGUGGAGGUGAAGCCGAGCAAGAAGAAGAAGAGAGGUGGAGAAAGAGAGAUGACAAAGACACAAAAGGAAGAAGAGGAUGCGGCGAGGUGGAUGGGAGAAGAUUAGAUUUAGGUUUAUUUUUUAAUCUGUGUUUAGGCUUCUUUUUAAUUUUGGGUUUUGUUUUUGUAAUACAAUUUUAAUUAAUAAAUUAAUUUUAAUUAUAAAUCAAUUUUAAUUUAUAAAUUGCUAUUUUGAUAUAUAUUUUUUAAUUUUUUUUUAUUAUUUAAUAAGAUAAUAAUAACGAAAAAGAAACGCUAUAAAAAAAUAUUUAAUUGCAUACAUAAAAGCGCUAUAAUAUAUAACAAUAAGAUAGCAGUGCAAAAAACCGCUAUCUAAUGUGCCUGACCUACUAUAACGGGCGAUGAUACAGCGCUUCAUAAACCGCUAUCGUAUCGUUAGAUAGCGUUUUUCGUCCGCUAAUAAAAGUCUUUUUUCUUGUAGUGUGGACCUAACAGAAUUAGAAUAGUUUCUACAAAAAAAUGAAAAAAUAAAUAAAAAAGUUUCAGUUGUGACUGACCAAUCUCGUUGAUGGAAUGGAAUAUAUAUGUAUGAAGUUUGGUUUCAUUCUAAGAAGAGAUUCGAAAAUAAAUGAAAAAAAUAAAAAUAAAAGUUUCAGUUGUGACUGACCAAUCUCGUCACAUUUCAAUGCAUUUACUUAUAAACGUAUUUAUUUACCUAAAAGCAAAUAACAAUUUUAUGUCGGUCGAAAAUGCGGUGAAAUAGAUUUGACGAUGAAGACGAAUUUACACACCAUAAAAAUUCAAGAAAAGAAAAUAAGGCUGGCAUUUGUUGGAUGAAUCCCAGAUAUUAAAUAUCGAGGAGCCGUAACGAGUUCUAGUAAGACACCAUUAAGUCCUUAUCGAUCUCCUUAUUUACAACCUGUCUUUAUUUUUAACCAUCAUCCUCAACCACAUGCUGCUGUGUUUGCUAACUGUUCAUCGAUCAGGCUCGUUGUUAUUGCACAAACAACAAACCCGUCACGGCUUACGACUUUUUUUGUCUCUCGCUCUCGUCUACUAAUUAAUUUUUCCCAAGAAUUUACGCGUGAUUUUGUUUUCUUUCUAGAUUUUUUUUCGACAUUGUAUAUGUAGUAAAUGAAUUAUGAACGCAGACAAAUUAUGCUACUAUUUUCUAAAGUUAUUGUACGUAACUGUAUGUGGGCAUGCAUUUUGGAAUUUACGAAUCUCUUUCUGUUAUUUUGGUCUCUCAGCCAGAACUUAAACUUUCAAGUCAUAAUAUAUAUAUGUAUAUAUGUUAACACAAUUUUAAAACUUAGCCAGAUUUUUAUUAUGGACUCAGAGUACGAAAGAACCACGUAAGUAUAAAUAAUAGCCUCUGCGGAUAGUAAGAGCAGGAUUAUUUAGGGGUGGGUUCCACCACAAAAGAAGAAGAACCGACCCCAAAGACGCUAGAUAUGGCGAUGAUGCUUGAGCUAUUUCGCAGACCCCGCUGAUACAUGGCAGUUUGCGAUUGAAUCAUUUUUAUUUUUUUUUUUAAAUCAGAAAAAACCAAAGCAAAAAAAAGUUAAACAUCCCACUUUGGGUGUUAUGGUUAAUGAUGCUCUUAGAGCAUCUUUAAUCCUAAGAGUCCAUUAGAGGUUUUAAUUUUUUUUUUCUCUUUUGUCCAAUUUAAAAAAAAAAAAAUUUAAGUAUAAUCAAUUGCGAAUCGCUAUUAGUGGAAUCCGUAAAUAGUACAAGAACUACAUCAAACUCGCCUCUUAGAGAAGAUUAAAAAAGGUGAGUUUUAGUUUUUUGUGGGGUUUACACUCUUUAAAAGUCAGGGUUAAAAGUGCUCUUAGCGAAGUAAAUUUGUAAAUUAAAUAUUUGGAGUUAGAGGGGCUACUACUGCAACUUGGACCUGUAUUUAAUUAUCAAUACUUUAAUAUUUCUAUCUAAUUUAUUUUAACCUACAGGCUACAGCAUAAAUUACUGAUUUAAUUGCUAACUUUUAACCUUAUGCGAAAAAUGAUUUACUUACUUUUAAUAAAUGGACCACGUACGUUACCAAACAAACAUGAGAUCUUAACUACUUCCUAUACUGAUUAAAAUAAGGAAAUUACUAAACACCUCAACGUUUAGUUUACUUAAGAACUAAGAUGGUGGAAGACAUAUAAAUUAGUAUAAUACUAAGUUUUAAAUCUAUUGUGUUUUUAAAACAAAACGGAAAAGUGUGAAAUCGAAACUUUAAUUCUUACUCUUGAAAUUUUAAAAAAUUUAUUAAUUAAGAAAAAUUGUAUUUAGAUUGCUAAUGGUAGAGGGAGAAAGCGUAGUAUGUAAUUAGGAAGGCAUGUCUGACACUUGAAACAGUUGGAGAGUCCAAGUUUGAUUACUACAAGUUUGUGGUCCCGAACAUCGACCCCUUUCCUCUGCUUCUUCAGUUCUUUGUUUUUUAUAAUAUAAAGAUCCAUUGUAUAUGGUUUUCCAAGUGGACAAAAGUUCGGUUAUACGCAGUGGCGAAUCUAGAUAGGUUUUGGGUGGGCAGCUGCCCCUCAUGAUUUUGUGAAAGUAAGUGUAAUUGUUCAAAGAUUUUUUAUGUUGCCUUUUGAUAUGUUAUAUACUUAUAUACUCUUCCGCCCCGGAUGAGAAUGCACCACCACUGGUUAUAAUACGUGUUACGUUAGCACUUGGAGGAUUAUCAUUUUUCUAAUCGUAAUUCUCUCGUUCUAUAAAUAUUUUUGUAUAUUAUUACCCACUAGUAGCUCAUUAGGUACUACAACAAGACUCCUUUUAUGCUUACGAAGAUUCAGCUUUCAUGACUUCUUUUAUUCUUCUAGAUUCACCGGUUCAGUAACCACGAUUGUGGUACGCUUCUGUACUUUUCUUCCUAAUUGCAGAAAUAUACAGAAAAGAUGUGUGAAUUUUCAAAUUUAAUUUCUUAUAAUUAAAUGAUAAUUCCUACCUAUCAUCUUUUGACCCACAAAACUAACCAAAAAGGAAAUUCCUUCGUGACAUCCCCAAUCGUAGAUGACCGGAAAUGGCACGAUCGAGGUUUUUCGAUGGUCGAUCUGAGGUUUUCAGAAUACUUCCGAUCGUUUUAGACCAACAACCAAAAAACACCAAUGUUCCGAUCAGAUAUCAUCUAGGCUUUUCAAUUCGAAAAAGCAAAACUCGAUAGUUAGUUCGUCCGGACAAAGACUAAUAUCAUAUGGAACCCGUACUUUAAAAACUAUCUUUAUAUAUCAUUCAAAAACAUCUUACAAAAUUUGCUAUAAAUUACCUCGAAGUUUUCGGUUAAAAAACUUUAUACGAAGAUAUAUUAAACGGCUUUGCAAGGAUAAUAAAACUACCGCUGGCUAAUGUUGUUCUUUCAUGUCCUAGAGUAAGGUAUCCCGUCUACUGGUUACAUGCAUCACAAAUGAGUCAUGAAUAAAUAACUGGUAAUUAUCAAAUAAUCAUAGCCAAUACGGAAUAAUUUCCGUUUUCAAUUAUAAUAAGUUUAUUUUAGUCGGUCUUAAUACCAAAGAUGGCUUGCUGAUUGAAAAUAAAACGUACUAACCCUAAAAAAGCAAUAUUUGUGUAAGACGUAUAUAGUAAUGAGUAAUGACAUUUGACGAUAUUUUGAAAGUUUUCGAAAGGAAAAAUGAUUGUUCACUAUAUGAAUUAUUGGUCAUCACAUGGCUAACCAUAUAAACUAAACAAAUGUAUACUUACCUAUACGAAGUAUAUAUUAUACAUGACAACAUCUCUCAACUUUAUGAUGUUAUGUAGUUAAGAUCACGAAUUUAAUUUCGUAUCCAAAAAAUAAUGUGUAUGUCAUAGACUAUUUAAAUCUCUCGCUACAUCAAUUAAAAUGUGACGUACCUGACGGUAAUUUACCUAAACUAGAUUUUGGUCCCUGUUUUAAAAGCGUAAAAAUAUUUUUAACAAAAUCUAAUUUACAAAAUCAAUAUGUUUAUAAAUUUUGAUAAGUAGUGUUUCAACAUUUUUAUUUUAGUAUAUUUGAAAACAAUAUAAUUAUAUUAUUUAUAUUUAUAAUUUAAUGUAGUUUUUAAUUCUUUUAAUCUGUUUUGGUAUGAUUUUUUAAUAAAAUUUAUGUAAUUCAUUUGAUUAAUUGUGUGAUAUAUACUUAUUUGAUAAACACAUUUACUAUAAAACUUCUUUGAUGUCAACUUAUUGACUCUAACAUUUUACUUGUUUAAUAUGAAAUUAUUAAGUAAAUGAAUUAUUUUAUAUAUUUUUUCAUAAACAAAAAUUUCACUCAUUUAAACUUAGUAAACCUUUCAUAUUACAUUCUUAGUUUUUGAUUAUUUUUAUUCUUAAAAGUAAAUAAUUUAUAAUUAUAUACGCAAGAUUAUGUUUGGUUUAAGUUGACAUCAAAUAAUUUUUAUAAUUAAAAAAAUAUGAAAGAAGUAUAUAUCACACUAUUAAUCAAACGAAUUACAAAUUGUUGAGUAAAAGUUCAUAACAAAACAGAUUAAAUAAUUAAAAAAACAGAUUAAUAUAAAUAAAAAUAAUAGAAUUAUAAAGUUUUAAAAGACACUAAAAUAAAAUGUUAAAACACUAAAAUAAAAUGUUAAAACACUAAAAUAAAAAUGUUAAAACAUUACUUAUUAAAAGUUCAUAACAAAAUAGAUUAAUAUAAAUAAAAAUAAUACCAUUAUAUAGUUAAAACAUAUUGAUUUUGUAAAUUUUAUUUUGUUAAAAAUAUUCUUACGCUUUUAAAAUAUGGGUCAAAAUCUAAUUUUAGUUAAAUUAUAGUCGGAUUGGUCAUAUUUUAAUUGUGGAAACAAGAUAUUUAAACGAUCUCUAACAUCCACAAAUGAAUAAUGAAAUUAAACUCGUGAUGUUAGCUACAUAACAUCAUAAAAUUGAGGGAUGUUGUCAUGCAUAACAUAUACUUCGUGUGGUUAGGUAUACAUUAGUUUAGUUUGAAUUGUUAGUUAUGUGGUGACCAAUACUUCAUGUAUCUAGCGAUCAUUUCUCUUUUUAAAAACAUAAGCUGUAUUUUCCCAGAAGUAGCACAAAUCUCUAAUUCGCAUUUGAUACUAUUGAAACAACACCUCUUAACCAAUUACUUCCUUUAUAAUCUCCAUAAAAGUUAUAUGUUACUGUUUGACAACGUGCAUGAAGUAACACGUUGUGUGAUACUCCUUUGAGGCUUUGAGUAUUGAAUAAACAACUUGAAUAAAAUCAUAGAAGCCCCUACGCUCGAUGAAAUUGGGACAGCUAAAUGGGUAAAUGUGUCAAGAUAACACGUAAAGGGGAGACAAUAACAAAUUUUAAUAAAACCCGUAUCAACCUCGAAGGAUGAAAAUGAAACAAACCCUAAUUAAUUAAAAAAAUCAUCGAGCAUUAUCAGUAGUUGGAUAUUCAAAUAGUUUCCAACCACGAAACGUGAAAGGAAGAUCAAUAUCAGACCGUCCGUUUAAUAGAUUCCACACAUACUAGCACGUCUUCCUUUGGAAUUACCUUUCACAUUUUUUUUUUUUGAACUUACCUUUCACAUUUUUUGAGCUAGUGAAAAUGUAUAUAAAUAACUAAAUUACGACACCAUUUUUGCGUUUUAUAAGAAAAUAUCAUUAAUUGUCUCUUGCAAUCUCUACAUAUUAUCAGUUCUGCAAACAAAUUAAAUGUGUAUCACCUUAAUGCACAACAAAUGGUUAUCCGUAGCAAGCACGCAAUUUCAUAGUCAGACAACAAACACAUCACAAUCUCCCUCUCUCUAUGUAUAUAUAUAUAUAUAUACAUCACACAUGUGGGUGUACAUCAAUUCGUGUAUAUAUGCUUUAAAAUCCGUAUAUUCAUUUUGAUCUUUAUAGAAAAAAUCCCACUCGCCAUAUAUAGUCCCUCAAUAAAUACCCCCAACCACAUUCCAUAAGCCCUCCCUCACUCUAUUCACACUCACCCUUCAUUGUAAAAGCAACAAACAGGGAAGAUUUUCAAACUAAAAUCACGUACAAACAUUUCAUUUAGGAAGAACUUGAAAAUUAUGGCGAUGAAAAAAACAAGCAAGCUAACACAAACGGCAAUGAUCAAGCAAAUCUUGAAGAGAUGCUCGAGUUUGGGGAAGAGGCAGAGUAAUGUGUACAGCGAAGAUGAAAACGGACAACCUCUUGACGUACCUAAAGGACAUUUCGUCGUCUACGUUGGAGAGAAUCGAGUCAGGUACGUUGUACCCAUUUCGUUUUUGACCCGACCCGAAUUUCAGCUUCUUCUCCAACAAGCAGAGGAAGAGUUUGGUUUCGAGCACGACAUGGGUCUCACUAUCCCUUGUAAAGAAGUCGUUUUCCGAUCUCUCACGUCUAUGCUCCGAUGAACAUAUCUUUUAGGGUUUUGCUUCUUUUUCUUAAAUAAUACAUUUCAAAUCGUUAGUUAGGAUGACAGAGGAAGCUGCUAAGUAAAUGCUUCUCUGUUUUAGCAAAAAUAAGUUUUAUUUGUUUUGGCUAAUAUGGGUUUAGAGUUGUAACUUGUAAGAGUGAGACCUAACCCUUAUUUAGAGAACCCCAAUGAGAAUGAUUUAUUAUUUUUGGUUAUUUUCUCAGAUUUGUAGAAACCCAAAAACAAAACAAAUUUCUGGAGAAGAUCACUCUCACGGUUUUGUGGUUGAUGAAUGUGUACCCUGUGAGAAAGGUUUUUAAUAUUUAAUGAAUGAGACUUAAAAUUAUCAGGCUUCAGGUUUUAUUGGUGUGGUUAUUUUUGCAUACAUUAAUGAAUCUUCGUGUAAUCUCAUAUACAUUAUUUGAGAAGUGAUUUUGCCAUGUGUUAUCACUACAAUAAUUUUGAAAGAAAAAUGAUGGCAUAGCUUGAACAUAUUUGUGACAUGAAUAUUUACAUUUGAUGCAGAUUUAUAUUUUUGUUAAAUUUUUUAGAAUAUGAUGAGAAAUCAUUAAUAUAACAAUAAAUCAUGUAAUACUCUAUCCGUUUCAUAAAGAAUGUCAUUUUACAUUUUUCACAUAGAUUAAAAAAUGAUUGAAAUGCAUUAAAGUUCUUAUUAAUUACAUAUAUUCAGCCAAUAUUAUUUGAGAUAAAUGAAAUUAUGUAUAAAAUCAAUGCAUUUGUAAUUAAUUUAAGCUGAAAGUUGCAUUGAAAUUCUAAAAUAACACUCUUUUUGUAACAAAAAAAAUGCUAAAGUGACAUUUAAUAUGAAACAGAGGGAGUAGUAGAAAUAAAAAUAUUUCAAUAUUUUUUUUACAAAAUUCGAAAUAUUAUUUAUUUAUGUUUUUAUAAUUAUAUAACUUUAUUACUAAAAUUUUUUUUCCAAAUUUUAUGCAGUUUUUUAUAACAUUGAAAUUUUCUAAUCCCAAUACCAUUAGUUUUUAAUAUCUACAAAUUUUAGAAAUAUUAUUUAUUUUUCGUUUUGAUAGUUAUAUAACUAACAAAAUUUUCUCUUAAUUUUAUAGAAUUCGAUAUAAUAUAUUUUAACCAAAAGAAAUAGAUUAAAAAUCUUUCUAAAGAUUAUAAUUUUAAUAUAUACAUAUAUAUUAUUAAAUAUAAAAAUUUAUUUUAAUUGUUACAUAAAAAUAAAGAAAAAAUUGAAAAUUAGAUAUUGUAAGCCGAUAAUAAAAUCUAAAAACUAACAAAAAUUUAUUUCAAUUUUAAAUUUUUAUUUAUGUACAUCGUGUAGGAAAACACCUAGUUUAGUAAUUUAUAUCAAGUUAAGCUAGCAAAAGCUGCAAGUACAGAUCGUUCCGUUUUAGGGUAUUGUCCCUCUCUUUCAUAUUUCAAACUUUCCCAUCUUUUUAAUUUGUAAUCUUGAAGUUUUCUCCUUUUCUGUAUAUAAGUUUUUUUUAAAGAGAAAGAGAUACACGAUAAAACUUACAUUCAUACAUCAGAAUCUGUAGACAAUCUUUGAGAAGGAAAAUAGCAGUAAGUCAAACAAUCCUAGAACUGCCAGCACUCUUACCAAGAACCAACCAAGCACAAAAGAGAGUAAGCGAAGAGGUGGCCAACACAACAACACAAGACCAAACAUACCUGAACCCACCGUUCACGGUACCAAUUGCCAGAACUAAAACGCCUAGCACGAAACUCCACAAAGAGAAGAGACCAGCACCAGAAACUAAAGCCCCUUCCUCCAGUGGAGCCUUCAUCGGAAGGUCUAAACCCCCAACCUCCUUAUACUGCUUCACCAGAAGCCACCGAGGGACGAGCGAAUCAGACGAACAACCGGAACAAACUUAUUAAAAGGUACGAGAAGGACUCCUUCAAGCCUGAGAGAUAGAGAGGUGACAAGAAACUUGAACUUCUGGAGAACAAUAGGUUCUAAAGAACAAUAGGCAUGUUCUGCUCACCACACACAGCCACGCCACCACCAUACCUCCACUUACACCGUUGUUGAACCCAGACAGAACAGUAAAAACCACCAAAGACACCUCAUAUUCACUCUCCCUGUCCACUAACAAACAUCAGAUGGAAUAAAUGAUGAAACACAGACAAAGCUGAAGCAAUCAGACAAGGUUAACCCAAAACAACAACAUCUGGACCGGAUUCUAAAGAGAUCCGACAAUUCAAGAUCUAGAAAUCUAAAGUACAUCAAAACCCUAAAAAUCCAAAUCUGAUAAGAGGACAGGAGGAGCUGAUGAUGAAAAGAGAGAAGGACAGAUCAAACUACAAAAUAAAACUAGAGAUCCGGCUCCAAUGAUGUGUAAGCCAUCGGAGCCGAAGGAGCAGCGGCGACUUUUUCUUUCUUUUUUUUUCUCUCUAGGCUUUUAUCAUCGCCUCUCUCUUUCUUACGGUUUUUAGCCAUUAAAACUGUUAAAGGUAACUAGGUAAUUAAAGUGUCUGGAUCGAUGUUAUGAAGUUGCUGAAUCGUUACAGAAUAUAAAUUAUAUAACCAUAUAUAGCGUUCUGCUGUGUUGAGAUUCUCCAAAAAAUGUUAUGUUUGUAAUUAAUUUAUGAGAUUAGAAGGUAAGAUAGGUAUUACAUAUUAAUAUGGUAUUAAAUAAAUUUGGAAUCGUCAUUUUCUAAAAAGCAUACUUGUUUGAAAGUAGUUGUCGUCAUUUUAGAAGUGAUAUGUAUUGUAUUAGGGAUAAGCAUCCCAUAUCGGAAAUUCAAAGGGACCUUCAAGUAAUAUAUAAAAAAUUAGGGUCAUUCUUAUAAUCACCAAUUAGUUUUAAGUUGGAAACUCAUAAUAAAUUCGAAUCUAACAUGCUAUCAGAGCUCAUAUCCUAAAACAUACUAAACCCCAAAUUAAUAUUUAUCCUUCUCGACCGAGUAUAAAUUUUGUACUAAAACUCGCUCGACCGAAUAUAAAUGUCCUAAAGUUCUGAGAUUUCUAACCGAUAAAAGUCGUCAAGAAUUCAAAUGGACCUUAAAUAAUAUAUAAAUGCUUACGCUUAAUCCACUAAUCACCAAUUGAUUUUAAGUUGGAAGUCUGAUACAUUUCAGGAAUGAUUAACUCUCACUACUAUAUUUGUGAACUUAAAGUAACUAAAAGCAAUAUAACCCAUAACUCUAAUAACCCAGCCUUAGAUGUUGAUGUUCAACUGCCAAAUUAAUUUUGAUAUUACUGCGAUAUGGUAUUUAGUUUUAUUUAUUUACAAAACCGAAUACAUUUUACUUCAAAUGUAUAAUAAGAUCAUAAAAGCAUAGGAUUUGAAGAGAUAGAUGUUCAGCUUGAUACAUACAAUCGUCCUUAUGAAAUGAAAAAUAAUAAUGUUGAUUGCCAAAAAAAUAAAAAGUAAUAAUAAUGUGUUUGAACAAUUUAAGGCUAAAUAAUUGUUCACCAUGAAUUAGUAUAAGCCUAACCUUGUAUUUAAGAAUCUUUUUUUUAUCUUUUUCGAGGGAUUCUUAGAUAGCUCAUUGAUAAGUCUUAGCAGCUCUAAAUUCAAGUUUUUUCUUGUAUCUCAAUGUCAUUUUUACGAAAUGAAUUCACAUUUGUCAAAAAAAUAAUAAUUUAUUUGUUUGACAAAAAAAAAUUGUUUUUCAAAUGGGCUUAUUUGCCAAAUAACCAAAAAAAAGAAGAAAAUUUAGAUUUUGGGAGAGAGAGUAGAGAGAGAUAGGAAGAGAGGAAAGAGGGAGAAAUUUUGGUUAGUUAGUGUAUUUAAGUUUUUUUCAUGUAUAUAGGGUGCAAUUUUCCUUUUCCAAUUUGGUUUUGUAAGAAAAUAAGAAAAGUUGGACAUGUCAAAAUCAGCUGAUAAUCACAUGCAACGCAAGUGGGACCCGUACAGCUUAAGAAUUCUCGUAUCGUUGAAGUCCCUACAUAAGAUUCCAAUGGGUUUUUGAUCUAUAGAACACCGCGUGGUAAGUGGUGGAGCCGUCUCAAUUAUUUGGACGGCUAAGAUAUUACGGUAAACUUGUCUGAUCAUGGGUUUCGAGAACACGAUAAUGCACUCCUUACCGUACGGUACUUAACAACCGGGUCGACUUUCUUUCGAUCAAUGAUCAAAAAUCAUCAGGCCACUAAAUUAGAUAUCAAACGUCGCUUUAAUUUUAUAAAAAUCCAGACUCGAUGGGGCUGUUUAGGCCUGGACGUUUGGGGCUCGUUCGAUUUUAUUCGGUUGAUUUGAAUUAUUAGAUUUUUCGUACUAUAUUCUUAAGUCUCAUUUUGGUUUUAUUAAUUUUUGGAUCAAAGUUAUUUUUCCAGAUUCGAUUUAGAUCAGAGUAUAAUCAAUAUGUCUGAAAUCAUCUAAAAAUAUUUUUUAAAAAACUUAAAUAACUAACAAAAAUAAUCAAAAUAUAUAAAUUAUUCAAAAAUCUAAUUAAAAACUAGUUAAAGUACCUAAACUAACUAAAAAUAUUCAAAAUAAAAAUAAAUAAACUACAAAAAAAAAUCUUUAAAAUACUCUAAACUAUCUAAAUAACAUUAAUAUAAUUAACAUACUUAACCAAUUUUAAAUAAUUUCAAAUCCUAAUUCAUAUUUCCUCAUUCCCGAAGUACGAAACUCUUAAGUGUAGUUCGAAUAUUUUCGUGUUACGGUUCAGAUGGAGUUUGGGUUUUAUCGGUUCAGGUUAAGGUCGGGGCUUCAGUUUGUGGUAAAAACACCCUGACCUAGGACUGCUAAUGAAACAUUCGAUUGGAUCCAUAAAUUCUUUUAAACUAUUAUAUGUAGUUUUUAUGAUCCUUUAAAUGUAAAAAUGAAGUUAUUAAAUUUGAUCUACUUUUACGUUAAUUCCAAAAAAGAUAUUACGAGUAAAAUUGAACUUAAUUAUUAGUAUAUGAAUAUAUGCUUGUGAUUAGUAGAAUAAAUAGGAAAAAAAUUGGUUGAAAACAGGUAAAUAGAAUUGUAGAAUAGUUUUUUUUUUCUAAUUCACUCUUCCAGUUCUUUUGAAGAAUAAUAAAUGAAUAUUUUCCUCCAAAAUUUGGUCAUACUUCCAAAUUCUAUAGUGGAAGAGUUGGUUUUUACACUUUUCAACUCUAACGCUGAUUUUUAAUAAUUUCUUAAUUCCACAAAAAAGAUUGGGGUAUAUUUUUUUUAAUAUAAAAUUGUUUAAUAUUCUCGAAAGCGCAUAAAGCGUUCAGCAUACAACGAGAAUCAACUACCCGAAAACACUUCGAGCUAACUCACAAACGGAUUACUUAGCUACCCCAAACCCAAGUCUAGGAAGGAUACACAGACGUAUAGUUUAUCGAAAUCCCGGGUCCGCCUUCCAUGUCGCUGGCUGGCUCGGUUAAUCGAGGUGGGAGUAUGAAGAUUCAACUUUCUCAUCAACGAAGCAACCUAAGCUAUCUCUGAAGCUUUAGCUUACCAUUAAAAACGGGUUUAAAUUGAAAGAUGUGCCAUAUCUUAGAGACCCGUAACCUGCACAAACUGAAAAGGAAAAACACUACCAACACAUAUCAAGGAGAUAUGUCGGUACUGGGAUGUGAAUUUCUAAGCUAAUGGAGUCACCGAGAAACCACGCAACCGUAGAACAACACGGCCACGCAAGGAUUCAUCGCCAAAAGCCCAACUCUGAGAACCGAAGCACAGUUCAGAUCAGUGACUGAGAGAAACAAACCGCUCCGGUGACAAUCAAAAAGGAAGAAAACGCCUAAGAGGAUCAGGCUUGCGCCCAUCGUCACUUACGGAAAGGCGAGAAAGACACGAACACACUGGUAGAGCUUGAAAAAAGGGCGGAGGGAUGAGAGAGCUUCAAAUGCCUAGCCAUAGACGACAAGACGAAACCAAGGCUCAACGUUCCAUCACGCGCCGGAGCCAGAGACCACGCGCCACCGAGUAAAAGGACCUCUUGUGCACCCUUAGACGAAGCCAGCAGGAGACCGGCAAACCGAGACGCCUCGGAGCAACCGCAUAUCCUACCAUCCUCCACUCUCGAAGAAACAGAGCCACAAACCCUACUGCUUGCCCCCAAUGAAAACUAGAUCUGUAAGGAGAAAACCCUAAAAGGCAACUCUACAUUAUGCCGCCACCAAAGUCACCUCCCCGUGACUCCAGGGAGGAGACGUUGCCACCGGAUAUGGGAUCCUCUCGAGCGGACCAGAAGACCGCCGAAUAAUCCCUCGUCAGAGCCAAAUGCAUAUAGGAGAGCCGGAGGUGAAGAGAGAGAAGCAUAGAAUGGAAAAAGAGUAGGAGCACCUCCGGUUCCGUCACAAAUUUAUAUUUAACAUAAACAGUAAAUGGUUAGAUGAAUAUUUAGUUCUACCAGUUUAGUUAGGGGUUGUGAAGAAGAGGGUUCUCUCUCUACUUUUAGAGAGAGAUAUUUUCUCUCGAAUCAUCCUUCUUACCUCAUCUCUAUCCUUCAGAAGGAUGAUUCGAAUCCCUCUACUUUUGUUUGUAAAAUAAUUUUCGAUCUCUGAAUCGAUUAUGUUUUCCGGUUUGCGGAUUUCUUGUUUCGCUUUAGGCGAUUUUGUUUUCUUAUGGCGAUUGUCUUGAUCGUUAGACGACUUUUGAUGUGUUCUUAAAGCUUCCUCCUUUUGUGAGUUCAUAUGUAUCCCGAUAGAUCUCCAAGAAACUCUCACUUUGGUAGAAAGCUUGGUUCUUGAUUCUGGAUGGGAAUCAAUCUUCGCUAUAGCUCAGGCGGAGUUUCCCAAAAGAUCAAGAUCUGAGAUGUGUUUAAGCUCGGACGAUUUGAAGCAGUUCCAGAUGAGGCGGAGCUUCCAGUAUAGGAAAGUGUUCCGGCAAGGUGCUGUAUUCGUUUCUCUCUCAAGCUUUUCUUGAAUUAACCUCUAGCAAGUGAUGAAGAGUUUCAUGGUGAAUCAAUGGCGAUUAGAAGAAGGAGCAGCGUACAAGCAAUACAAACGAAGUGAGAAGGGAGCUUGAUGGCUUCUCAUCCGGUGAUGAGCUCCGGCGGUGCAAUCUUUCUUCUUGCUUCUGAAGAGACGAAGCCACGCAAGCAGAACGUGUCAAACAUGCAGUAACCCUAAUCUUUUACGUUUGGGCUUUGUAUUGGGCCGAAUGUAAUAAUUUUUAGUUUGUAUGCUUGUAUAUUUGGCAUGUUGGGCUUCAAUAAUAAGAAGUUGACAAAAAAAAAAAAAAGUUCUACCAGUUUUUGUUUUUUAAACAUAUAAUCAUUUGGACCCUAUGGUAACUAAUAGCAAGAAGAAAAUAUUAUGUCGAGCAUCUCCACCGACAAAUGAGGUACAGCCAUUGCAUUGUACUUCCUGCACCUUUCUGCUGUAUCCCAUUGAGAAUGCUCGAUCGAGCUCGAUGCACUUCUCCGCAUCCUUUAAUCCUUCGGGCAUUGUUGACCCUAGUUUUGUGUUACACACAGCUCGAUUACUGUAUGCCUAUAUGAAAUUCAAAGCAAAAUAAAUAAUUCAAACAAUCAAAUAUUGAGCCUUUGUACAAAACAGUGACCCACAUAAGAUGAUUAGAAUUGGCCUUAGAGCAUCUCCAAUGGUGGAUUCACCAUUGGAGUCCUUAGGAGUAGUAUAUUAAUUUUUUUUUUUUUGUAAUAGUUAAAGACUCUUUUAGAAAAUGAUAGUCCAAUGGUAAUACUCAUUUAGGAAUCCUUACGAAUAACAUAAUAUUAAAUUUUAAAACAUGUAAAAUUGAAAAUUUUAUUUAUUAAAUGAAAUACAAUAAACAUAACAUAAUUUAAUAUUCAUCACCAAAUUUAGUCCAAACAUUUUCAAUUAAAUUGAUUUUCAAUUGAUUAUGUAUAUGCCUAUCGCGGAGAUGAUUCCGAAUCCCAAGCAUGUUCCCGAGAUUUGAAGGCAUCUCGGUACUAUAGGACAUAUCCACUUGUGAACUUCUUGAUGUCUCUCCUUCUUCAAAUUCAGUUGUAUGGUACUGAGUGUAUCAAUCCCAUUCAUCUUCGACAAUCAUAUUGUGUAGUAUGAUACAUGCUCGCAUAAUCUGCCCUAUCUUCGCCUUGUCCCAUAAAAGAGCCGGGUUUUUAACAAUAGCAGACCGAGCCUGCAAUACUCCGAAAGCCCGCUCCACAUCUUUUCAAGUUGAUUCUUGAACUUUAGUAAAUAACUCUGUUUUAGCACCUUGGGGGGAGUGAGAUAGAUUGGAUAAAUGUUGACCAUUUUUGAUAUAUACCGUCGGUGAGGUAAUACGCCAAAUCAUAUUGGUGUCUGUUGACGACGUACCGGACCCUUGGAGCUCGACCUUCC
This 49283-nucleotide long non-coding RNA is filed under the name Brassica rapa (field mustard). RNAcentral describes it as "long non-coding RNA (BRAP_LNC001087)". Lineage: Eukaryota; Viridiplantae; Streptophyta; Magnoliopsida; Brassicales; Brassicaceae. The record is from RNAcentral.